UUUUUUUUUUUAUCUAAGUCCCAAAAAAAUUUAAAAAAAUGUUUUCAAAAAAUACACGUCAGCAGUGACUCCAUCGUGGCACGACCGACCAAUCACUCUCCUCAAAAUCGCACUAAAUUCGAAAUUUCCAGAGUGAACUCGCAUCAAACAAUACCCCCGAUUGCGAUAAAUCCACGUCUCUCUACACUCUUCCUCACCACUCUCGAGUCUCGAACCUUCUCUCUCUCCCUCUCUCUCUCUGUGUCUCUCUCUCUCUCCACCUUCGCCCAUGGCCGCUACAGCCGCAGCUCCGGCGUCGCCCAUCGAGGUCUGCGUCAAAGCCGCCACGGGCGACCCCGAAACCCUAGGCGAUUGUACCCUCUCGAUCACCCCAUCUCCAUUUCGAUCUCUCUAGAUGUCGAUCUUUUGUUCCUGAUUUGGUUCCUUUGAACGGUGAAUCUCUAGGUCCUUUUAGCCAGAGGGUUCUUCUCACGCUCGAGGAGAAGAAGAUCCCCUACGAGUUGAAGCUUAUCGACCUCGAUAACAAGCCCGAGUGGUUAGAUCUAGUGUCUUCGUAUUUCUCUUCUUCGUUGUAGGAAUCGAGUAUUAUAUGAUGUGAUGCUUUGUAGGUUUCUGAAGAUAAGCCCCGAGGGGAAGGUUCCUGUGUUCAAUGGCGGUCAUGGGAAGUGGAUUUUCGAUUCCGAUGUGGUCACGCGGACCAUCGAGGAGAAGUACCCCGAGCCUUCGCUUGUCACGCCUCCGGAGUACUCGUCAGUGUAAGUUUUUCUCGGAUUUGUGUUUUCGCUUUACAUAUAUGAUGAGAUUUGUGGUUUAGCAAGUAUGAUAAUUUACUGCCAUAAUUUGCUUAACUUUUCAGAAGUUUAGAGAUUUGUGGUUUAGCAAGUAUGAGAUUUGUUGAAGUUUUAGGUCGUGAAUAUUUGAUGCUUUAAUUUGUUGAGGGAACUGGAUUUUACACAUAAUGUAAGCACAGCGGUUUGUAAUGUUUGGUAAUUGUGGGAAGUGAAAUUUGAUUAGGAUUUAAACCCUACUUAGUAGUCGAAGCGGCAAAUAACAUGUUCUGAUUUGAGUAGGAUAAAUGCUCUGUUACUUUGUGCCCCUUUUUUUUUUUUGUUUUUUUACUGUGUUGUAGGUUCCUGCAACCACAUUUUAUUUUCAUGCCUGAGUGUUUAAUAAUCGAGCUGUGCCUUUUUUUUUUAAAUUUGCUUAAUUAUUGUAACUUAAGCACUAGCAGAUAUAUCCAGGAACCAGGAUGAUUUAAAGGUUGUGGUGUGAGAAGGGGGAAAAAAAUAAAAGCAUCUCAUCUAACAUAAAAUUUUUAAAUAACAAAUGAUCAAUUUUAUAUAGCUGGUUUUUGUCUGAAUCAAUGAUUUGCUAGGACGAGAAUAUUAUUCACUUACCAUGGCAGAUACAUCCGAAGAGCACUGUACUGUGUAUGUCAUUGUUCUUUUCAUUUUACAAUAUUGUGGAACUUCAUUAAUUUUGUUUGUGUUAUAUGUUUUGCUUUGUCUCCUUCUUGUUGUUCACUCAAUCAAUCUUAAGUUCUCAUGCUCUCUCUUUCCAAUACUCCAUUUCCAUGGGUAAUAGAACUUCCUAAAUGGUUCUUGUGUGUGAGGCAUAACUAUAUUGAAGAACUUCAGUUUGCCAGGCAAUUUUCUUGGCUAAUUACAAAUUUUCCAUUUCGUGUCUCUUCCUGCUGGAGUAGUUUGAUAUAAGGUCACUAGUAUUAAAUCCAGUUAUUCUAGUCUCUGGAAGUUGAAUCCAGUUAGAAACACAUUUCAUCUAACUAAAUUACCUUAUACCAGGGGAUCAAAAUUAUUUCCUUCCUUUGUGAAGUUCUUGACAAGCAAGGAUCCUAAUGAUGGGUCAGAGCAGGCACUACUCGAUGAGCUGCGUUCAUUGGAUGAGCAUCUGAAGGAACAUGUAUGUCUCCCCCCCCCCCCUCUGACGUGCGUACACGCAUGUGUGUUGUGUGCGUGUGCGUGCCUGGUAGUCGGUGUAGGCAUCAGUCAUGUAGUGACCACACAUUGAUAUUUGCAGGGUCCAUUUGUUAACGGUGAGAAGAUAUCUGCUGUUGAUCUUAGCCUGGCACCUAAGCUAUUCCAUCUUCAGGUUGCUCUUGAUCAUUUUAAAGGCUGGAAGAUCCCUGAGAAUCUGACCUAUGUUCACUCUUAUAUGAAGGUAUGGGCAAAGAUUCCUGACUCAUUCUGUUUUAUUACCUGGUUGUAUGUUGAAAGCUCUGCUUGAGUUCUCUUUUCGUUCAGUUCCUGAAUUUCUUUCUGAAUGACGGCAAUGCAACUUUGCUGUGAGGCAAUACUAUGCCAUUUUUCUUUUUGGUGUUAUUUAAGCAUAUUUGGCGAGCGAAGCUAUGACUCCUAUAUUUGUUUGGUGUGUCAUGAAUCACAGCAGCUGUUUUACUGCUCGCAAGAAUGUUAGCAGUUGGAUAUUAAACGUCUUUUCUGUUUAAAUUCAUUAAGGAUAGAGUGACCACUCAGGCGCUUCUCUUUGAGGUCAAAUAGCAAAUAUCAUUAGUUACAGGGACUGUUAUUUGUCUCGUAAGGUAUUAGCGACUUGUGUGAACGUAAUUGCCCAGUAAUCAUCUUUUAUGGCAAGCAAUUGUAGUCUGCUGAAUCAUUCAUUAGCUCAUUUCUUUUUUGAAGCCUCUGAUAUAUGGUUGUGCGUACUGUGCAGCUGCUUUUCAAUCGCGAGUCUUUCAUCAAGACGAAACCCUCCAAGGAGCAUGUCAUCGCUGGGUGGGCGCCGAAGGUGAAUGCAUGAAGCGCUUCCUAUCCUUAGUCAGUGAUCGUUCUGCAAUAGUAAAACAUCUGCUGGUUUGAAAUCACGUGUUCGAACUGCAAACUUGUUCAGCUAUCGCUGCAAACCUUGUUAUCACUGACUAUUUGCACUUGGGUUUUCUGUAACUACUUGUAUCAGUAAAAUUAGGGGUUUCUCAGUGUGUGUGUGUGUGUGUGUAUAUAUAUAUAUAUAUAUAUGCUGUGACUGUUGUGAGUGUUGUGCCUUUCUUUUUACAGUAAAUAAUGCAUGUGCUCAAAAUUUAGGCUUAAUUGUAACUCUUUUAGUGAAAAUAAUUAAGUUGACUCGUUGAGGGGUGCAAAUGAAAAACUAAAGGUAAAAUCGAAGGGCCUAAUCCUGAACAAGGAACUUACAUAUUCGCUGAAAAAAAAAAGAAGUGGAAAUCUUAUUACAUUUGUAUUAAGCUAUCAUUUAGUGAAUUACUUCUUUUUACAUCAUUGUUUGGUGGCAAUCUUUUACACUUCUUGUGGGUACACCCCUAUUUCAUUUAAAAGAAAAAUAUAUGAUAGAAAGCACCUCCUUUUCCUAAUACGUGUGAUUCAGUAUCAAUUAACUAUCUCAAAUCCUUAUUCAAAGAAGAUCAGAUCACUGUUAUUGUGCUUGAUCAACAUACACAGAUGAUUGAGGCCUGAGGGCAACAAACAGCAAAUUAGACCUCCCUUGGGGAGAGGAGCGGCUCCUGGUCCGAAUUCGACUCAUCUCCACCAUCAGAUUGUCUCCACCGGCACUGCACGAGACCCGACGGGGCACCCGGCAUGCUCCUGUGGAAGUUCUCCAUGUACUGAAGGCACGCUUUGACGGCGUCGUGCGCGCUCACGAAGUACCAUCUCUUCCCGAUCAACUCGAUGAGUCCAGCACGGGAAAGCGUUAUCAGAACCUUCCGGUUUGGAUUCGAAAAGGCCAUCUGCGUGAGAAAUUCGAAGCUAAGAUUGUAAUAUCAUUAAAAUCUAUCAUAAAUCGAAUCUGAAAACAAAAUAGAUACAACUCUACCUGGAUUUCGCGAGAUUUAUAUUCUUGAUGCAGAUCCUUGAGAGCUUGAACUGCGCUCGAGUCGAUGUAUGGAACAGCUGCAGCAUUUAAACUGAUCAAUUGACUCGAACAAACUUAAGAAGAUACAGUUUAUGGAAACCAAAACAAAAUUAUGCUGAUAACAUACCUGCCAUCUCAAUAAUCACGAAAUAAAUUCUUUCUUUUUCUUGUGUAUCUUUUGUUGCUCCUGUGCUGUCGAGUUCGUACUCACGCAACCUGCGAAUUGUAGAAGAACAAAAUGCGACAAAUUGUUAAAUAAUUUCAGUAAUACGGUGCGUAACUAUGUUCUUCUUUUCGGUUCUUGCUACUUCCGGUAGAUUAUAUAAAAGGCGCAGGGCUUCACCUGUCCUUGAUGUAACUUAUGUUUGCGAAAUAAAUCGGAGCAUCAAUUCGAACAACAACAAUUCCGUAGUAUAUGUAUGCUUCGGGAUACUGUUCGAUGUUUCUGUAAACCGUAGUUCCGGGGAGACGUCCCAGUACAGCUGCAAAUUAUAACACUCAAACAGGAGAUGCGCGUGAUAAAGAGAAACUAAAAUUACAAAAAUUAUACAAGCAGUAUAAAUAAUACUCAGAUUUACAGUGGUUCGGAGGAUCGAAAAGCACUUACCUAUGUGGGGAUUUGCUGAUUCAUGGAUGACGAAUGCGAGAGAAGCGCUAACCUAUAAUUCGAACUCCAUUACUCAGAAUAUAAUUGCAAACUAUACAGAAGUGCUACUCGAAUUAAAGUUAAGUAGAUCAUGUUUACAAUCUCUGUACUUUGCAUUAAGUCGCAUAACCUAAUUUUUCUCUUAAUUAUUAAAUGGUAAGCACAUAUUAGCUUAGAGACAAGGAGAAACAUUCUGAAGAGGUGGUGAAGGGGGAAAAGGAAUGCUUUUAAAGAGCAGCAAUUACUACCGAUGAGUGAGUGAUCAAACUUUUGAUUACGCGGGAAAAGAAUUUUGUACAUGAGAUAGACAUGGGUGUAAAACCUGACCCCAACAAGCACACCAAUCUCGAUGCCGAGAAAUAAUGUUAUAAUGCAAGUGAUAGUCCAGAGAAGGAAAUCUUUCUUAUCUACGCGCCACAAGAAUGCGGCCUCCUCAUAGUCCACCUGAAGCAAAAAAGAACAAGGAUAUGGGAUUAGUUCAAUAAAAGAGAGGUUACAAAUAAAAUUGCAAAUUUAUCCCUGUCGAGAAGUCGCAAAUUGCUGAGUCUCCUUCACAACACUAUCAGGGCUUAUCAUUCUCGAGUUUACAACUAUUUAUGAGUGAGGAUUUAUCAACCAAUAAGAAGAUCUUGGACUAUGCAAGGUAAGAGAAAGUUUUACUAAUACAAACUCCGUAAUCGCGAUAAUUAAGAGAUUAAGAUAUUAAUUCUUACCAAACUUAUUCCAACAGAGAUAACAAUGGCAGCUAGUGCACACUGGAUCAUACAAAAACAAGAAGCGGUAUAAGGAGAAUUACUCUAAGAACAUGAAAGAUGCUAAGUGAAUAGCAAUAAAACUAACUCUUGUUUCGCAGAAGAUGCAAUUACAAGAAAAUUUUGUUUCAGAGAACUACACCUGAGGUAUAUCUCUAAACAAUGGAGUCAAAAAGUAUAAAGCACAACCCAUUGUGCACCCCAUUAUAACUCCUGAUAAUCCUGUUUUUGCCCCAGUUUCAUGAUUUACAGCUGACCUAGAAAAGGAACCUGCAAUUUUGCAAAACGGAAUACUACGGUAAACAUGUUAGUCGAAGGGUAAACAUGAAAUUAGCAGAUGAUGAGAAACAAUAACUUCACAUUCUUGAUACUGAUGUGGCUCAUCAGAAAAGUAUCAACAUAUUUUACCUGUCGCUGGGUACGAAGAGAAAAAAGAACCACAUAUAUUUGCCAUUCCAAGGCCAAAUAACUGCAAAGAAGAUACUAUGAGACACAAAUUAAUCUAUUAUUAUUGCAUGGAACAUUCCAAAUAUCUGCAUCUGAUCAAGAAGACAUUAGAUUCUAAUGGUUUUUACUGGUACCUCUUGAUUCGAGUCUAAGUCGUACCCAUUUUUCGCGGCCAAUGCUUUGGCAAUCCCUACUGAUUCCUGAAGUUCAAAAUGGUAUUGGUGGGUUUUCGACGAAGCAAUUAGUAGAUAACUUAUAAUAACUAGCAAAUUAUUCUUACUAGAAUGGCCACUCCAGUAAUGAGAACGGCGGUCGAAAGCAGAGAUUGCGCAUACUCGAACCCUCGAGGAAUGUGAAACUGUGGAAGGCCUUGUGGUAUUUCGCCAACCUAUAGUCGGAAAAACAGCAUAAAAUCGACACAGUACUCGCACAAAGGAUUCAAAAGCUACAAUCCAUCAUAAGGAUAUUGCAGCAUAAGAUUAUACUUAUAUUUACAUUAAAAGUCGUUUUCACGCAGAAAAUCACUUCUAACAAGCUACAGUAAGGAUAGAACAUAUAUAUAUAUAUGUAUAUUCCAUUAUUUCAGAAUCCGAGGAUGGCGUACCACGGAUAUCGAGGAGGGGCGGAAUGUUUUCACAAAAGUUGUCCCCAGUAUAACCGCAGUUAGUGGUCCCGAUGCUCUGAGGAAUCGCAAACUCUUCUUCGAAUUCCCCUGGAACACAAAUUUAAGUAUGAAAAAGUUUAGUAAGCACAUUCCCAUGAGCUUCUUCAAGAAGCCAAAAAGAAGUAGCUCUUACCAAGUACUUCAUAAGAAGAAUAAUUGCGAGGAUUGUUGAUCCCAUUAGAAAGGGGGGCCAUGAGAACUACAUCAAACCAAAAUUAGUCGCAAAUAAUAGUAUAACAAGAUACAGUCAAAAAAUGUAAACACAAAAGAGUUGUGACUUUUUAAUCUGAUUUCGAUGGACUAUGGAAAAACACUCACAUCUGCAGCUCCAGCAAUUAUACUCCUCGCGAGCGGCACGAUUUUGCUACUCCUCUCCACAUUGUACCCCAAGAAGUACUUCGCUUGAGACAACGCGAUUACAAUAGCCGAGGAAGUGACAAACCCGGAUAUUACUGAGUGGCUUAUGAACCUCAGAAGCCAACCAAGCCUGAAGAAUAAUUGAACAUGACAUUAGAAAGAUGAAGGAAAAGAAAACAAUUUAAGUAGCUCUUCUAGGAAAUCUCUAGUGAUUGUCGAAACUAAAGAUAAAAUCGCGAGAAAAUUGUUACAGUAUGGUACCUCAAAAGCCCCAUUAUACAUUCUAAUACGCCGACCAUAAACGCGAGUAGUAUAGCGAGCUCUGUGUACAAUGCAUCUGAAGGAUCCACUAUGUUACCCAAGACAUUGGAAACUAAGAGGGAUACCAACGUCACCGGACCGAUCGCGAGUUGGCGUGACGAUCCGAAAAUGGCAUAUACGAAUAUCGGAACGAAACCAGAAUCUGCAUCCGAAAACAUGAGCUCAUCGCGCAAAUAACAAAACCGAUAGCUAAUGAAGAAACAAGAUAACAUAUGAAUAAAUCGAAUCAUACUCACAAAGCCCAUAAAUUGGGUGAAGCCCAGCUAAUUUUGCAUAUGACAUUGCCUGUCCAAUUUAUACCAAAUAGUGAACAUCAAAGUAACAAAAAGAAAAGAAAAGAAAAGAAAAGCAAAUAUAAGAAGGCAUGAAACUAUGAAAAUCUCGCAAACUUCGGUUUCGAUUCAGGUCCAUUAAAGGCCUCGAACGAAAUCCAUAAAUUUGGGUCUGUUUGAAAUUCCAAUAAAAACCAAACAUGGCAAUGCCGGUUUGCGAUCCAAUUUAUAUUUCUAUGGUUACACGCAAUGGAGAAAAACAGUUAUUUCAUAUAAUUUAACAUAGUAUUAGAAUAUGAGGUUUCGAGAUCAAGUGCCGUUAGGCUCCUUACAUUUUUAACUUUAUACUAUUUAAUUUAAGUUCACGUUUUGAACCUAUUAAAAUAACUUGAUUCCAGAUGUGAGGGAAGUGUUGAGUAUAAAUAUUAAGAACGUUGUACUCCAGAAGCUUAAGAUUUGUCUCAUAUAAUUUAACAAAAGUUUUGUUUCAAAUCAUGCCUGGGGGAUGAGCAUGACGCCGACCGUGAUCCCCGCCAUGAGGUCCAUUUGAAAAUACUCCUGCCAUUGGUAAGUCCGGAUCCACCGCGUGCACGGGAACACGAACUCCAUCACGUGCAGUGCCGACAUGCUCUGGAGCUUCGACCGCCACUGGGCGAAGAGGGAGGGGGGCGAAGGGAUCAGGGCCGACGAGGACGGCGUGGGCCCCAUGAGGGGUCCCGGCCCCGCCCUCGCCGGGCCCCGGACGUGCCGCGCGAGCCCCUUGAUGACGUCGGAGUCCGCGAUGUUGAGAUUGCUCGAGGUUGCGUAGGAUAUCUCCAUCGGUAUCUCUCUUUCUCCCCCUCCUACAACAUUGAUCAUCUGUUCUCUUGUUUCGACCGUUAGCGGUUUAAAUUUGGCGGGAGAAGGGAACGGGGUGUAUUUGUAGGGGUCGUGGUACGAGAAACGGACACGUGGCGAGUAGGUCGUUCGAAAAUGUGGAACAUGAAUUGAUGUAGGGGGAGCUGAUGAUUAAGCGCUCUUAUUGGUGCUCGUGGGCGGAGUUGCGUACGUGUCGAUUCAUGAUUGGUGGACGCAAUGCUGUUUUAUGUUCCGGAUACAGCAGCUGAACUUUUGGUGCAUCCCUUACUCAUGGUGGAAUUAUUGCAUGGACCGUGGUCUACCCUGGACCGAUCUUCUAAAUUCAAUCCUAGAGAUUUUAAAAAUAAUAUAAUAUAAACAUUAUUUUCAAUAAAUACAUGCAGAAAAACAAUAAUAAUAUUUUAAAUUGUCUGUUUUUUUAGUACCAUAUUUUCAAAUAUUAGUUUUUAAUUUAUAAAUUAUUUUAAAGAUUGAAAAUCACGUAUAAUAAUUUGAUCUACAUUUUAAUACGGUGGACUGAGUCCACGCAAUAAACUCUCCUCAUGCAUGGGAUACGCUACAUAAGUGUACGUACGCUACGGGCUGCGGCACAUGUAUCUCCCCUGUAAACUUAGAAAUUCUCUUUUUAGAUCUGAGGAACAGAGAAAUUAUUGGGCUGGGUAUAUACGUGCAUGUUUUACACCACACUACUGAAAAGUUUUAAUAGAGAUUUUAAAAUAAAAAAUUUAACUUAUUAAUUGCAUAUGUGUGUGUCUUUUAAAAUCUAAAGUAGCAUUGAAUUCUUAUUUUUUUAAAAGGCUAUAGGCCCGAUUCUGAAACUCCUUUAUUACUAAUCAUAUAUUUUACUAAAUCAUUCUAUUUUUAAGUGAGCAAAUAAUCGGUAAUCUGAAAUACUAAUCAGCUGCGCGAGACAAUUACGAUGGUGCAUAAAAGCAUCUUCAAACCAAUGCAACCCCAUAGGUCAAUAACAGCCCCUUUUGAGAAAAAAAGAAAGAACAAAAAAUGAGAAGUAAAGGGCCUCAUAAUUGGGAAAAAUGCUACAAGAUAGCAUAGCAUAAUUAUGCAAGGAGACAAAUAACAUUAUCAUAUAUAGGCAUAAUAUCUUAAUUGGUGUGUUGCUUAAUUGCUAGUGACUUAGUUAUUACAGUGACUGAAUUGAAGUUUCCUUCCUGCAGGACAGAAGCUAUAGGACAGUACCUACCAUCAGGAUAAGUAAGGACUAAAUAAUUAAUGCAUAGAAUAAGUGUAGGACUAUUGAAGGUUUCUGAUGAAGUUAAUUUCGAAUCUUUAUUACAAUGUAUUUAUCUUUCACUUUAAAAAAUAUUGUCAAAUUUUGUCAGGGUUUAAUAGUUCUGUUUAAUUAAUGAAAGUUAAACAACAUUCCAUUACAUAAUGUUUUAAUACUAGUACGAAAAGAAGUUAUGAGAAGUAGUACUACUUUGUUAACUAACUAGGUUUACAUCGAGCACCAGAGCUAAUUAUUUUGUCAAUAUAUAGAAUCCUUCUGAGAAAUAAACAAUUGAACGAUUAUAGAGAACUCAAUCUAAAGAAAAAUUAAUUGGGGAGUAAAAAUUAGCCAAGAGUUUUUGUUGGGUUGGGAAUAAUAGUUAGUUAUAUUUCAUUAUGAACUUUGAUUAAAAAGUUGAGAAUGAAAGACCUUUAUCAUCAUUUGGGAUUAAACUUCGAUCUUAUCGCUGAUUAACUAGAUAUAAAAAGUAACACAAAAUUUCAAAUUGGAUAUAUUCAAAUAAGAUGAUUUAGUUAAAUAAAACAGAAGCAUCUAAACUUUUAAGAAUAUAUACUUUAUUUAAAUAUAUAUAUUUUUUAUUAAAAUUUAAAAUAAUUGAUUUUGGGGACACCUGUAAUAUAGAUAAGUGUUGUUGAUACUUCAUAAGUAGUGCAAUUAACGCACUAAUAACAACCUAAAUAAAUAACGUUACUCCACAUAAGAAUAAGUCCUUGACACACAUAUCUCAUCUUAAACCGUAAUUCCUGUACACUCGGAAUAUCUCCCGAAUAAAAUGCGCUCUUUAUUCCAAUUUCGCCUUUAAAUAUCGUGCAUCGAUCCCGUACUUUCCCUUCCGCGUAUAACGACUCGUCUCUCUCUCUCUAUCCCUCCUCUUUAAUUCCCACUCUCUUCUUCGUCCUCGUUGGCGUCUCCCUUUUGCUUCGAUUUGGGCGACAAUGGAGAUCGAUCUUGCUCCGAAGCAGCCGAAGAAGUCGUAUGGAGGCGACGGGGGUUCGUAUUACGAGUGGUGCAGCGGCGACCUCCCCAUGCUCGGGGCGGCGAAGAUCGGCGCCGCGAAGCUCGCGCUGGGGAAGCGCGGGCUCGCGCUCCCCAGCUACUCCGACUCCGCCAAGGUUGCCUACGUCCUCCAAGGUAUGGCGAUCCCCCUCCGAUUCGAUCUUCGAUCUAGGUUUGUGAUUUGAGUUCGGAGAAUCAUCGCGAUGCCCUGUGUUAUCGAGUAGUGUUUCGAUCGUUUGGUUUCGUGAUGAGAUUGAUUGGAUCCGUGCCCUAGUUUAGUUUGUGUACGAAUCGCUUAUUUGUUUUUUUUAGGGUUUAGCUGAGACUGAGGACGUAUGGGUCCACUUCGAUUAUUUUAUUAUUCUAUUAUUUUGUUUUUUUGCUAAAAAAUUUGACUACGGUAUUGUUUACUAAUUAAUGUCUGCGAUAAGGAUCGCGUGUCGAUAUUAUAAUAGUCCUCGUGUAGUAGAAGUAGCAUUAAUUAGUUUUAAAUGGAAGCAUGAUAGUUAAAAUUAGUAUGUUAAAAAUGUUAAUCUGAUAGAAAAUGAUUUAAAAUGAUUUAAGAAUAUAAUUAGACACAAGGAAUUUGCUUUGUCAAUAUCAAUUCCCAAAGAUGGGGACAUAAUCCAUGAAUUGGGGGGAUUUAGCCCAUUAAAUGAUUAUCGCAUUAAUUAGUUUUAAAUGGAAGCAUGAUAGUUAAUUAGUUUGUUAAAAAAGUUAAUCUGAUAGAAAGUGAUUUAAAAUGAUUUAAGAAUAUAAUUAGAUACAAGGAAUUUGCUUUGUCAAUAUCAAUUCCCAAAGAUGGGGACAUAAUCCAUGAAUUGGGGGGAUUUAGCCCAUUAAAUGAUUAUAACAGGACUUGAACCCACAACCUCACAGAAUCGAGGGAGAAUAGAAGUGUCUCUAAUGCCACGUUACUUAAAAUAUUGAUCUGAUGGUUAACUAGCUGAGAAAUAUAGCUAAGAAGUUUGACUAAACGGAAGUAAUAUAACUUAUAUUCUGCUGGAUUUGAGUCUUGCGGAUUGAUCUGAAUCUACCUAAAAACUUUACUCUUUGAUGUUGUUGAUAUUCUCUUCAGAAUUGUGACUCUGAUUAAUUAAAUGGACAUCCAUUUUCUUUGGUAAGAAGAUUUUCUACGUUCAAAAAAAAUAAGUUACAGAUGAGACAUCGUUAUCUCUGCAUGUUUGUUUUCUAUGAUAUUAUAGAAUCAGUUGGCCGAAAAAUCAAUUUCUGCGAAUUCUUUGGCUCCUUCACCAUGGAAGUAAACAUUGCUAGAAUGGUCCAAGUUAGUUCAUGGCUAUACGAUGCCUAUGUAUAAUUACCCAGGAUAAGAUAUUUUUGUCAUUUGCCUUUUGAACUAACAGUCUUCUUUCUUUCAUUCCCAACUAUGCAUAAUGUUACUUAAGAGUUAAGACUCAACCAAUUUCUCAUCUUCUUAGUUUCUAGUUGUUUGAAUACAUUAGAUAUUUUGCCGAAGGAUUGAGAAAAUCAAUGAUCCUAGUUAGAUUACUUGCAUCUGAUCAUUCAUUUUGAAGCCUUCGGCAUUUCGAAACUGGUUGGUUAGUAGUUAUCUAUUCUUUUCCAUCAUCCAAACAUCUAUGAUCCUUAUCCUUUUCAAUCUUUUGCCUUUUCAAAUCCUAGGAAGUGGAACUUGUGGUGUUGUGCUCCCAGAAGCCACUAAAGAAAAAGUGAUUGCCAUCAAGAAGGGCGAUGCUCUCGCCCUCCCCUUUGGCGUCGUCACCUGGUGGUUCAACCCUAACGAUGCUGAACUCGUUAUCCUCUUCCUAGGCGAUACCUCAAAGGGCCACAAGUCUGGCCAAUUCACAAACUUCCAGCUCACCGGCUCGAAUGGCAUCUUCACCGGUUUCACCACUGAAUUCGUAGGCCGUGCUUGGGAUCUCUCCGAAUCUGAGGCCACUAAACUGGUUGGAUCCCAAUCAGAUGCCGGCAUAGUUAAGCUCAAGGAUGGCCAGAAAAUGCCCGAGCCAUCUGCUAAAGACAGAGAGGGCAUGGCUUUGAAUUGUGAAGAAGCCCCUUUAGAUGUGGAUAUAAAGAACGGGGGACGGGUUGUCGUGCUGAACACACAGAACCUUCCGUUGGUUGGAGAGGUCGGGCUCGGGGCUGAUUUGGUAAGGUUGGAUGGUCGAGCCAUGUGCUCGCCCGGGUUUUCUUGUGACUCGGCUUUCCAGGUGACUUAUGUGGUUAGGGGGAGUGGCAGAGUUCAGGUUGUGGGAAUUGAUGGAAAGCGGGUUCUUGAGACAAAGGUGAACGGUGGGUAUUUGUUUAUUGUGCCGAGGUUCUUUGUGGUGUCGAAGAUUGCUGGUGAAGAGGGGAUGGAGUGGUUCUCGAUCAUCACAACUCCCAAGUAAGUACACCAACACCUUUGUAUAAACUUAUGUGGAAACCUAUGAUGUUAAAUAGCAGUUUUAGUUCAGUGCAUGCUCAAGCUCUAUAUGAUAGAAGGCUCCUAGAGUGAACUAGUCUAGUUUUACCUAUGUCGCUGAACAAUCUGGUUAUAGCAAAGCUAGAGAAAACCAUCUUUCGAUGCCUUUAGCCAUGUAGCGAACUUGAUGGGCAAAAACAUUUCAACCGUAUAAAACAAACACUUAUGUGUGUUUUCUUACUUUACCAUCUGUCGUAAGUUUAGAUCUAUCAUAGUAUUCAUAGUUUAAGUGACUAGAAAUGCAGAGAGAGUACGCCCGCAUCUCUCUUCCAUUUUCUCAAGAAAUUCAGGGCGUUGACAAAUUCCUCCGUUUCGCUGAUAGCAUAAUGGCAGUAGACUACAUUGUUUCUUAUUACAUUCGGAAUGCGUCUGUGAAUUGUUUGUGUAUGUAUACAGCCCUGUGUUCAGUCACCUGGCGGGGAGGACCUCGGUGUGGAAGGCGAUAUCGCCGGAGGUGCUCGAGGCCUCAUUCAACACCACCCCGGAGAUGGAGAAGCUGUUCCGAUCCAAGAGGACCUCUGACGCCAUCUUCUUCCCCCCUCCGAACUAGAGGCGCAGGAUUUAUAUUUCCUCUGCCCCAGGCCCCAGGAAUUAUGAUAGUGAAAUAAGAAAGAGGUCUGCCUCUUUUAUGUUGCCUUCGAAUAAUUUUGGAUUCUUAUUUGGCCUCUAAUCCUUUCUUUAAUCUCUGCUUGGAAUUUAUGUUGAGACACCUUAUAAUUAUAACAUAAGGUGCUUUAAAAUGAUGGUCGGUUGCAUUAAUUGUGGUUUUAUACUUUUUUGCGGCUUUACUUUUACAACCGAUAAGAGUCGGUCAAAGUGUGAGUAAUAUCAAGGUGUUCUCUCUCAUUAAGAACUCAAGUCGUAAAGAUCUUGGUUGGUUGGUUUGCGAAGUUCUAAAUUUAAGGUCCAGUUGCUUUACUUUUUCAGCCUAUUCGAAACAAAUAAAUGAAGCGGCUAAUAUGUUGCUUUUCUCUCAAGAAAACAUAUAUGGUAUUAUUGUUGUUGUUAUUAUUAUUACCAGGUUGGGUCUGGGAAAGUCUUAAUGAUCUAAGAAUUGGUUCGAUUACUGGAAUGUUAUUACCAGGUUGCUUUUCUCUCAAAUAAACAGAUUUAUGAUGUAGUUCUCGUUUCCUUCUCAAAAUUAACUUCCUUUUUUCAUUCAAAUAUUAAUCCGGAGCAACGUAGCUUUAUAUUUCUCUCUCGUCCUUCCUAGUGUGAUUCAUUCUUACCUUAUCUCUUUGAAUGUGUGAUUAUUUUAUUUUACCUUAUUAUUAUUAUUAUUUCUAUUAUUUAGAAAAAACAUGGAGGGGUGUGGCCAAAGGUCUAUAAUAAAUAUUAUGUUAUUAUUUUAAAAUUAUUGUUUAAAAAUGAAAUAAUUUUAUUUGUUGAAUACAUUAUUAUUCUAUUAAAUUGUAAACAAUAACAAGUUUUUUUAAUGAGUAAAAAUUAAUAUAAAAAUAAUUAAACAAAGCUUAAACCAAAGAACGUUCUGGACCUUCUGCACAAAAUAUCUAUUCUCUCAAGAGAAAAAGGCAGAGGUUCUUUCAAAAAGCUAAGUACUACACUAUUUAGAAAUGAGAAUUACAACUCACAUACACACUUCCUCUUGUGUGUUUUGAUCUUAACCAAAUCCCACUACUUAUACGUUUCUAGAUACAAUGAACCUAGAUACACACUAACUCUCUCAUUAUGAGAUACAUUAACUCACCCUCAUAAUGAACCAUAAGUCCAAAAGUCACCUCAUAAUUCAUGAGAGUUUCAUAACCCUUGAGUUUUCAUCAUUAAUAGGAGAGGUUACAAAACUCUUUGUCUUCCGACAGUGGGUUAGAUUUGGGUCUCUUUGAUAACCCAAUUUAAUUCAUUUUCAACCCGUUUCACUAGCAGAUAGGCCACUGUCGAGAAAAAAACAGCGAAAAAUAUUUUGUCAUGACAAGGCGUACUGAUUUUUUUGCGCCUCCUAAUCUACGGUACUCUAUUUUCUACCCAUCCGUGUCACUCCCAAGUCAACCUACAGCUGUCGUGUAUCGUACAACGACCUCCGCUCCAAUUCCACACGGCAAACCUUUGCCCGGACCUGGUCCACCACAUCUUCCCAAGACCUCCUCCAUCAUAGACCCUCCAUCCCCUCCUUUCUUGAAAUGGCAACCGUCCAAAAAUUUCUAAUAUAUAUCUUAUUCGUCCAACGGUCCACGAAUGACGUGGUGGACCAGGUUCAAUAGUUCUCCCGCCACCUAUAAUCAUUAUGUCCGCGCCGUCCUCUAUGAUUAUAAUACGGGAGGUGUCCGUUACUUCCACGCCACACCCAAUCCAUUUUUCCCCAAAAUGCCCUCAACAUCCAAAAAUCCCCUCUCUAUCCUCUCCUGCCUCGUCGUCGUCGCCGUCCUCCUCCUCCCCUCUCCCUCCCAUGGCCGUAAAACCCUAGGGCGCCGUAUCCCCACCUCCCUCUACGACGGCUCCCCCGUCUUCCUCUGGCCACUCCCCAGGUACCUCACCAAUGGGAACCAAACCCUCUCCGUCGACCCCAAUCUCGCCCUCGCUGUCGAUGGCCCCGGGGGGAGCUCCUCCAUCGUCUCCGACGCGUUCGAGAGGUACCGGGACCUCAUCUUCAAUCCCUGGGCCAGAUCCGGGUCGCGCGACUCCGCCGCGUACGAUGUCUCCAAGCUGACGAUCUCCGUUGCUUCGGACAAUGAGACGGUGGGGCCGGUGUUUGAUUCGUCCUGGUUUUGGCUUAGCGUUUCUUUUUUCUUUCUGGUGGAUUGGGCUAGGGUUUUGAUGGGUGUGUGGUUUGGGAUCUACAAUUCAGCUGCAAUUAGGUGUGGACGAGAGCUAUGCGCUUUACGUGGGCGGCGGAGCGAGUCUCUCGAUCGUUGGUGGAGCAACAAUUGAGGUAUUAAUGAUCUCUUAUGCUGUUAAUUUAGUUAUUUUUUGCACAUUUGUACGGGAAUUUUGAUAGUUUAAAAGUAUUCGUGUUUUAGUGAGUGCAUGCACAGUGCCCUCUGCGCCAGAAUUACAUGGGACUAACUAGGUUCUUUGAACAUCUGCUUGGAGAAGUAAUUGAUGGAAAUGGUACUAAAGUGAAUGUCCUUUAGGAUCAUAUACUAUGGCUUCCAAUAAUACAAGUAGGGGGAUUCUAUAGUACAAAAUACUUCUCAAUGAAUAUGAUUUGGUCAAAAAGACUGGGAACUUGUAAGCACAAGGAAAUGACUUAAGUUUUAGUAGUACAAUUGAUUUGUCUUCAUUUGCAAUUAUUGCAGUGUGAAAGAAUAUUACUUUUUUCUUUUGGUCUGAAAAGCAACUGAGUGGUCAAAAUGAUUGUUUCAUCAGUUCUCACUAGCAUGAAAUCAGCUAUUGCACACUAUUAUGGAGCUAUUACUUAAAUAUAAAUUUGACUAAAUUAUAAGGUGAAAUUUUUUUUUUUGCGAAUUUACUAUUCUGCAACUACUUAAUGUGUAGUAUCUGGUUUAACUAGUAAUUGACUGCUAAUUUGAGAGGGCAACCUAAUGUAUGUUCAUUUUCCUUUUCUGUGUUAGUGUUAACCUCCUCAAUCUUAUCUGUGAUAAUCAUUUGACCAUUUGGGGAUCUACGACAUAUUCUGGAUAGAUAUAGGAGAUAGUGUUGCAAAAGUAAUGUCCAUUUCAGUGAAGAAGGUGCUUCCUUUUUCUUAUAUAUAUAUUAUGGAACUAGUCGAAUUAAUUAUUAAUGUCUGCUGUUUCCAUUUAUUGCAGGCUAAUACUGUAUAUGGGGCUAUUCGCGGAUUAGAGGUAUGCAUCGCCACUCAUACAGUCAUACUCUACGAAAGUUCUUUAGUUACUACUACAUAUCUAUUUUGUAAAGCUUAUGCCUCUGUUCAUUAAUACAGCAUACAUUUACUUUUAAGUGACCCAUCUUGUAGUGCACGAGUCUCUUUACUAUCUUGACAUACAAACUGCUUACACCCUUAGUUAUUUUCUUAACUUGCGUAGAUAUCACUUGUAGGGGUACAGUUUAUUCUUGCCUAUUUCUAAGCAUCAAGUUGUCUUGCUAGGUUCCCUUUUUUCUGAUUCUUUCGGACGAUUUGUUCCCCCCGCCUAUAGUAUUAAUUUGUUUAAAUUUUUUGUCUGCUACGCUGCAGAGCAGUUUUCUCCAUUUCGUGAAUGAUUUUCUUUUUUUUCCCCUGAGUAAUAUCCAUUUGUUUUUCCAGACAUUCAGCCAAUUAUGUAUAUUUAACUAUGACACUAAAAAUGUUGAAGUAUACAAUGCACCGUGGUAUAUUCAAGACGAACCGCGCUUUGCCUUUCGUGGGUUGCUUCUUGGUAAGGCAACAAUUCCCACCCACUAAAUAGAUGCAUACAUUUCAAGAUGUUGUUCCACUAAUCCACUAGAAAUACACAUUCAUGAUUGUUCAUUCUUAUAGUUUGCAUGCAUUUUUGCAGAUACCUCACGGCAUUUCCUGCCAGUAAAUGUGAUCAAGCAAGUGAUUGAUUCUAUGUCUUAUGCUAAACUUGUAAGAGAUUUUUUUUUUUCCUAUGGCAUAAUUUCACUCUUGAUUUGCCUUUAUAAGUAGGGUUGUGUUAUAGGGAUAUAUUUGAUUGAGAUCCUCAUAGACUUUUUCCUUUGGACUGGUAUAGCUGAGUUAUGCCUGAAUUUAUUUUUCAGUUUGUUUCUUCAGUCUCUGUACUAUUUUCCUUAAUAAAACUUCAGUCCCUGUAUUGCUUUCAUUGUACUAUCCAUCAAAUAGCAUUAGCAUAUUUAGUUACUGAAGCAAUAUACCUUUACUCUGUUCUUUCUUCCUUUUUAGAAUUUUCUAAAUACUGGGCUUGCAUACUGAUACUGAGAAUUGCAUUCAGUAGAAUGUGCUUCAUUGGCAUAUCAUAGAUGAACAAUCCUUUCCUCUGGAAGUACCGUCUUAUCCAGAUCUGUGGAAAGGUUCAUACACAAAAUGGGAACGAUACACAAUCGAAGAUGCUUAUGAAGUUGUUGAGUAAGUUAUUUUCUUGAGAUUACUAGUUGUCCUUUGUACUCUUUUGCUGUUAUGGCCUUCAAUCUUUUGAUAACAAUGCAAAAUUUUUGCCUACAUACCCGAGUUGAAUAAUCUAAAGUAUAGCAUGCAUCUCACUUCCUUUGGUUCAGAUCUAACUUUUCAUUUUUCUACACUGUUGCAUGCAUAAUCAGCUUGUAAGAUUCUAGUUUAAAAUUACUGGUACUUGCUGUACCAUUCUUCUAUAUACUUUCUUCUCUGCUAACUUUUUUUUGGCUCUUUUCUCUCCAUUUGCAUGUUUAUAUUGUGGCGAAAAGCUUUGCUAAGAAGAGAGGUAUGGUUUAUUUCUAACCAGCAAGCAUCAACAAUUUCAGGCAUUCUAGUUUUCUAUAACUCUUGUGUAUUCUCCAUAGUCCGACCAUACAAAGAUGGUGUUUACAAGACUUCAAAUUACAUAUUUGAUGAUGGAUAUCACUCUCUGUCCAAUUCUUGUUGCUGGAAUAUGGCAUUUGACCUGCAUUUCAAUUUUCCUCAGAAGAGCUAAGCUUGUCUAUCACUACUACAACUUUAUUUUGUCCUUUUCAGGCAUUAACAUUAUGGCAGAAAUUGACAUCCCUGGUCAUGCAGAAUCAUGGUAAAUAUUCUUUGACGUGUUAUUGCUUUUUUAUUGAUGAUGUGGGAAGUACAGUGAGGGGCCGAAUGAUAAGCGAAAGUGAAGUGUAACUUAUGCCUGUGACAAAGCCUUAAGACAAUGGAGAAGAGUAACUGUAUUCUUAUUCCAACAAACUAUACAUCAUGUCCUAACGAAUACCUAAAACGUAAAUAAUAUUUUAUAUUGAAAUGAUGUCGUAGUUAAAACUGUUGUUCUACAAGCUUAAAGGAAUCUCAAACUUGUCUGUGGAAAACAAGUUAGGAGCAAAUUCCCAACCAGAUUAAUAUGUUCCCUUUAUGGGUCAGAUAAUACAACAUUUAUGCAGCUACUUAUCUUCUACAAGCAGAAUACUGUUACAUAAUUUCACUAAUCAAUUAUCAUGCUUUGAAAGAGGGACUUUUAUGCAAGAGCAAUAGUGUCUCAUGUCUAAGGCAAAAAAAUAGUUCACUUAUUAAUUAGAGCAGUAAGCAAUAUUCCAGAUUAUAUCAGGGGUUAUCAAUGCAUUAUCUCUUUUUUAUACUAUUUUCUUGACUGUUAACUUUUAAAACUCUGGAAUAUGAGUUCGGCUCUCAGAUACUUAUAUCUAUGAUUCAUUGGUGAUUGGAUAGCAGGUACUUCUUAAUUUGCUGAUUUGCUAUUGCAAAGUUUCUAGUCUUCUUAAUCAAAAGUUAUUUAUUUUAUUGUCCAGGGGAAGUGGUUAUCCUGAUCUCUGGCCUUCUCCCAAUUGUACAGAGCCGUUAGAUGUCACAAAAAAUUUCACAUUCGAAGUGAUUUCUGGAAUUCUGUCUGGUCAGUUUUCUUUUUCUUCCCCAGUCUCUCUCUUUUCAAAAUACAGGCAACUGUAUAGGUAUUUCGUGAUUACCCUCUUUAGUGAGUGUACUAAUUGGCCUUUUUAAAAGGCCUUUGAACUCGAGUUUAAAUGUAUUCUUUCUGAUCUAAACUCGACAGGUGGUUAGCUGAAAUGGAAUUUAUCAAUUCCAGAUUUAAUGACCGUUGUCUUGUUGCCAGAUUGUUGUGUAAUACUGACACUUUAGCAAUCAAUCUAGCAGUGAAUUUAUUACUCUACUUAUAUGAAAUCUAGAUAUCGCAUUUGAAAAAUAUUUCAGUUGCAGACCAAUUUAUUGGGCAUUCCGCUCGAUCCUAUUAAGUUAAUCUGCUACCUGUUCAAGAAUAAGAAUUUUUUUGCUAUGAAGCAUUGUUGAUCUUGAUCUUUAUAUCAUUUCAGAUAUGAGAAAAAUAUUUCCUUUUGGUUUGUUUCACUUGGGCGGGGAUGAAGUUAAUACAGGUUAGCCAAUUCUCUUUCAGACUCUGUCCUGCUAUCUUUUUCAUUAGUUAAGCAAGAAAAGUAAUUGCUAUUUUACCAAAGUACAUGAGACGUAAUUUGUUCAUGCAAUCUGAUUUUCUUUCUGAUUCCAUAAGCUGCUUUAUUAGAGGUUUAAUAAUUGAGACUCUGUUGUAAAAUGAUCUUGGCCGAAGUAUCUGAUGCUAAAUCCUGCAAAUGCUUCUUCUUUUCUUUUUCUUUUGUCGGUUGAGAUUUCCCCAGUUUUGCUGUUUAACUGAUUAAAGGUUUAGCUCUGCUAAUAUUAAGUAAACGAUUAUGAAGUUAUCCUUAUCUAAUUCAUGCUUUAAAAAAAAUUCAGAUUAUCUCCAACUUGAUGUCAAUUUGAAGCUUGGAGCAUUAUCCUUUCUUAAUAGUGAUACAUUAUAGACGACUCAUAUUGUGACCACUUCUUGUACUAAAUUAUUGUGGAAAGCUCUUAAUUUCUAUAUAGAUGAAAUUCUAGAACCUAAAAUCUUGUUGGUCAAUGCUGUGCAGAAUGCUGGAAUUCGACAGCCCAUGUGAAGCAAUGGUAAGAGAUUCUCUAUUGCUUAUGAUGUCAGACUUCUAUUUCUAGCAUCAAGAAGUAAUUCACACUUGAAGUGCAGAUCUAACUUUGCACCUCUCUUUUGCCUUCUUUCAGUCCUCUCUUUUGUAAUUUUUCGGGGGAAAAAUUCUGGAAAAUUGGAAGUUAAAUCAAUCAGCAAUGGCGUAUUUCAAAUACUAACCCAUUAUUUAUGCAGGCUUCAGGAGCGAAACAUGACUACAAAGGAUGCAUAUCAGUACUUCGUAUUGAGGGCUCAAGGGUUGGCAAUCCAGCUUAACUGGAUUCCUGUAAACUGGUGUGACAUUUUACCUUCCAGAAACCGUUGAAUAACAGAAAUAAUUGCCUCUAAAUAUUAACUUUAAAUAGAGUGUUAUUUGUGCUGUGGCAGGGAAGAAACCUUUAACACAUUCAGCGCAAACCUCAAUCCUUUAACAGUUGUGCAUAACUGGUGGGUCCUCAGUUGCAUCUUUCCAUCUCUUUGUAAAUUUGUUGCUAGCUUCUUUUUAGUUAUUGUUGGCUUCUUGCAGGUUGGGUCCUGGAGUUUGCCCUAAAGCUGUGGCGAGGGGUUUUAGAUGUAUUGUAAGCAAUCAGGGCGUAUGGUAUCUCGAUCAUCUAGAUGUUCCUUGGGAAGAAUUCUAUAAAAGCGAACCACUCGAAGGAAUAAAUAGUACCAUGCAGCAAAAGCUGGUGCUUGGUGGUGAGGUUUGCAUGUGGGCUGAGACGGCCGAUACGUCGGAUGUUCAACAAACAAUAUGGCCUCGUGCUGCGGCUGCUGCAGGUAUGCUGAAAUAUCUCCUGAUUCGCUGAAAUCAAAAGAGAAUGUCAUUAGAAUUUAACUAUUUUAUCAUGAACUCAUUUUUAGGGUGAUAAAAGUUUUUUUUUUUUUGCUGCUUUAUUGGUCCAUGACAAUCUUUUAAUGUCAUUUAUGACAAUGUAGCUGAUUUGACAGGUUUUUUCAUGUCACUUUCCACUUCAUUUAUAAAUUUUAGUAUAUCCGGAACUUCUUCAUUCCCUCGAAUACUCACACUUGUUAGAACUAUACCUUCUUGUGCAGAGCGGUUGUGGAGUCCGCUGGAGGCUACUUCUGUUGGGAACCUGAACUUAACGGUGCUACCGCGACUACAUUACUUCAGAUGUUUACUGAACCAUCGCGGAGUCGCAGCUGCUCCCGUCUCAAAUCUCUAUGCACGCAGUCCCCCGACUGGUCCCGGUUCAUGCUUUGCUCAGUGAUGGAUGUUUUCUAUAUUUAUAGUCGCAUGGUGGUCUCUGAUUGGUCCUGGCUCGAUUCUAUGCGAGACUCUGUAUCAUUCCAUUCUUCCUGCUGUUACAAAAUAAUGAUUAUAACUCAUCGUAUUGGUGUGUGUAAUUCAGUGCAUCGGUUCUCUGUUCUUAACGUACAGUUUCUUAAUAAAUUAUUUAUUACUCUGUUUCUGUUUCAAAUUGUUUAACUAUGCGUUAUCUAUUUUAAGAUCUAAAAAUUGGAUGCCUGUUUCUAGUUGUUCUUCUGAGUGAUCAGAGUCUAUCUAUGGUUCGUUAUUGGUGGUAAAGUUAGGGUGGGAAAGCUUUCUUAGUGGCCAGUUUGGUAUUAGGAUUUAGGACCACACAGAGAUAUGUUUUUUCAUUUGUGUCUUCAGGAGGAUCGGAAAAAUUAUACCCUAAUUAGUUAAUUAGUGAAUUAGUGUUACACGAUACUGUUUACAGAGUUUAACAAAAUAUUUUUUUAUUACACCUUUUUUAACUGCAUGUAACAUAUUUGACUUGUAAUUUCAAACUCAGCCUAAUUGGGAUCAGACGUGCGCAUUAGGGCUUUUUUUGCAAAUAGCCCCCUGACAAAUUUUAUUUGCAAAAAUACUCCCGUCCAAAAAUUAUUUGCAAAAAUGGCCCUGCCCCUGCCACGCCAGCGCCACGUCAACGCCACGCGGGCAGAGCGUGAACACGGUGAACCAUUCACCGUGUUCAAUACAAAAUUUUUGUAUUGGACACGGUGAAUGGUUCACCGUGUCCAAUACAAAUACCCCAAUAAUGACUAAGUUGGAGGUAUUUGUACUAGACACGGUGAACCAUUCACCGUGUUCAAUUAUUUAUAUUGAACACGGUGAAUGGUUCACCGUGUCCAAUACAAAUAUUUCGAUCUUAGCUAUUUUGUAUUGGACACGGUGAAUCAUUCCAAUACAAAAACUUUGUAUUGAACACGGUGAAUGAUUCACCGUGUUCAACUUAACCAUCUGGCCCAGCCCCGCCCGCGUGGCGCUGACGUGGCGCUUGCGUGGCGGGGCCAGGGCCAUUUUUGCAAAUAAAUUUUUGACAGGGCCAAUCUUAAAAAAAAAAUUUGUAAGGGGGCUAUUUGCAAAAAAAGCCCUGCGCAUUAUGUCUGGCCCGAAGUUAAUUACAAGGUGGCGCAUCCAAUUAAAACACUGGAUUAGUAUAUUCAAUAAAAUUAAUUAAUUAAUUAAAUUUUCAAUUGAAUAUUUUUUUAAAAAUAAUUAAGUUAAUUAUUGAGAUUGGAAGUAUUAGCUCGGAAUUGGAGGAGACCUCGAUCUCAGACCCAUUCACUCCUAUUGGGCUCCGAUCAAAUGGUUUUAUUGGGCCGGAUUAAAUUUAGUUGGGCUUUGCACUGGGCCCCACGUUUUCAUUGUUAACUCUGUAUUAUGACCUUGUUGUGUUUAAAGAUUUUUACGCAUUGGUUAAUCCAUUUAGUAUCCAACGUAAAUAUCAAUGCUGAGCAUGAAACAACUUCCUUGUAAUGAAACACUGAGUAUGAAAGAUAAUAUAAUAAUAAUAAUAAAUUGGUUAACAAAUGAGAUCUCCUUUAACAAAAGGAUCUUUACAAGGGAACAAUGAACAAAUUCACAAAUUAUCCUUUGUAAUAAUAAGCCAAAGCAAGCGCGAGUUACGUUUUCCGAGAUAUAUUAGUUCAAACUCUAUGACUGGAAUCUCCAAAAAGAACACAUGGAUGUCAUAGGAUAUAACUUCUCCAUCUUUUUAUGUCUUUUGUGUUCUCGUUUCGUCGAUUCUGAAAGAAUCGAUGACAGUGUGCAGCCUGUCCUUCAUCUUCUCCCAUCUCCGUUCGUUGGCUCCUGUCGUCAAUGUAUAAAACUUGCCUGCCAAAGCAUUUCGGAUGUUAUCAAGCGCGUUAAGCUAAUCACACAGCAUUAAGUUAUUAAUUGCUUUACAUAAUUAAGAUCUUCUUAAUGCUGGUCUCUCUACAUGAAUAACAUUCAACUUUCAAAGCAAUAUCGAUCGAUCGAUCGACAGAUACACCAACUAAAAGGAAAAAAAAAAUGCUAUAUUCUGAUGUUUAGGUGCAGAAAAUGACUUCAGCAUACAUACCAUUUGCAAUAGUAAUUGCACCAAGUGCAUGUCUAGUGAAGUUUGGAGCUUGGGCCGUAAACUCGAAGGUGUAAUAAGCUUUCCCGUCAACAUCAUGCUGGGCCAAGAAAGAACUUUUGUGUAAGUUCCUCACUAAAAGGGGCGGCAAAAAAAAAAAGCUCAAACCAAAAAUGCAGCAAACGUACCUACAUUUGCACCUAACUCUUGCGCGUAUAAACUAUAAACAAGAUUGAAAGGAUACCUUCAAUAGAGGGCUUUAGUUUCAAAAUACUAGUAGCUUUUAGCUCAACGAUAAGAUUUAAAAGAAAAUGGCGUCGUCUACAACUAACUUAUCUACUGCAUUGUGUUGCCCUUAAGAAAUUAAAGCCAAGAGAAUUACAGCAGGACUUGGUGCAGAUGAUUGAUUGAGGAAUAAUGAAAUGCUGCCCGCUUUAUAUAUUUAUACUCAUUUCAGCAGUUUAGAAAAAGAAAAAUGGAGUAGAUUUUGAAGUUCAAAUAACCAAGCCUUAAUGCACAAUGAACAUAAGUCAUGUGAAACCUAAUUAACUUCUUAGUGGUAAAUCAACCGGAGGAGGUCGAACGAUCAUACCUCAGAGGCUUCGAUCAACUUUGUUUUUUGCGAGGGAGGUGCCAAUACCUUCUUGAUUAAAGCCUCAGCCACCUACGACAAGUGCGAGAUUGCGAAUUUAGUAAAGUAUAAGGAUUAUAAUUACUUAAAUAUCUAAAAAGCGUAGUUUCGACAUAGAACCUGGCUUAUCGCAUCUUAUAGAAACUUAUCUUUUUAGAAAUAUAAAGUAGCAAACCUCUUGUGGGUUUCCAAGAUCCCUAAUAUCUUGCUUGGUAGUGGCAACCAUAUUUACACUGACACUUUCCAAGGGUUCAAUAACAUCUUUGAAAACCUUGUCCUGCCCUCGAAUAACAACUUCCUGCAAUUAAAUUGAUUUAUGAACUAAACGGAACCGCAAUUCAAGGCAAAAUAAACUAUUCAAGAGAGAAUUUCUUUUUCUCUUUCUGAGAGCAAUUUCAGAGGUUAACAAUUCUUACUUGCCAUCCGAAUGGGUAUAAGAAUGAGUACCCAUCCUUCUUGUCCGACACAGCAUUGAAUCCUUUCUUAGCCUCUGCUGCAACUAAAUCAUAUCAGGGUUCUUUUCAGAGAUUCAUCAAUGUGCUAGAAAAAUUGAGCGAGAAACUGCUGCGAUUAAUAAGAAUUCUUCUUUAUAAAGAAUGGAAGAAGAGAUUCAAACCAUAAACGCGUAUAGGAGUUCUAAGUAAAACUCACAUGACGCUGAAUUAACACGAGAUAGAAAUACAGAGGCAGCAAUUGCUCCUGAUAAAAGUACUUGGCGCCGACCAGAUUGCUCUGCAAUGCAAUAAACUUGAUUUUUGUUAAAAAAAAGCUCCAGAUUUAUUAUGCCGUUAUGUUAGGAAUGAUAAAUCGCACAAUUGCUUCCCACAAAAUAAGCAAAAUUACUAUCUCCAGCAGCUAAAAUCUGUGAGUAAGUAUAAAUAAUCAUCAUGAUGUGACAAACCUAGUACUUUGACUUAAAAUUGCUAAGAUGGUUCUGCUAUACUAACAAUUUCCAAUCAACUAAUUUUCCGAUCAUCAUCGUCGACGAAUUUGUACAUAAGGUUACACAUUCAAAUCUUCUGCUCACAUACAUAUUCAUAAUUCUUGUGAAUUACUUGUCAAUCUAUCAGUGCAGCUGUACAAGCAAACAAUCCAAGUAACAAAAAAUUAUGAUACUUCAUCGAAACCCAGUAAGUAAAGGAGCUAAAAAUUUUAUGUUGGGUUACAAACAUUUAGCAUAAGAAUACACAUAAUGUGGAAACUAGGCCCUAUUAUUAAUNCCCUUAGAUCAUACUAUUCAACCAACCACCCACUCAACCCUAGGGGGCCCACAUCAUCCUAACCAUACAUCUCUUAAUCCGAUGGCCAAAAACUUGGUAGCACCAAUGACUUGGUGCUAUUAAUAGCAUAGUAGCCUAGUUCUAUAUAUAUAUAUAUAUAUAUGGGUCCGGCUACUAUACUAUUAUAAGUACGAUCGCUACUAUACUAUUAUAAGUACGAUCGCCCUCGUACUCAUAAGUUGUUUUCGAUGAUAGAACUUCUGAAUCGCCGAUUCACACCGUUAAACGUUAUUCACAGCAUUUAAAACUUCUAGAAAUCAAAUUUUAUAAUUUUUCGACAUCAUUUACCUUACUAUCAAGAGGUUACAAAUUUGACAAUGUUUAACGGCCGGUAUGGGAUACUUGCUAGUUUAACGGUGUAAAAGAAUCGGAAUUUGUUGAAUUUCUGAUAGAAAAUUCUAUUCACUACAUAGAUAAAGAUCAAUAACUCCGAUCUUGAAUUGAAGGAUCCGAUCAUCCUUUUUUACAACGUCGUUCGAUUUUGAUCGUUCAUUUUAUGCCUACUUGAUGGACUUUAUUAUGAUUUCGAAAAUUUACGAAAUUUAUUUUCUAAAAGUUUGAAAUACUCUAGAUCAUAUUUAACGGAGUGGAUCGUCGAUUCGGAAGCUCCGUCAUUGAAAACAACUUAUGAGUAUGAGGGCUUCAAUACUGAUAAUAGUAUAGUAGCCACGACCAUAUAUAUAUAUAUAUAUAUAUAUAUAUAUAUAUAUAUAUAUAUAUAUAUAUAUAUAUAUAUAUAUAUAUAUAUAUAUUCUCAAAAAUCUUAAUUUGUUAGAAAUUACAUGGGUGAGUAGUAGUAGUAGUAACCUGAGAAGAAGAUGGAGAGGCCGCGGAGCCGUUGAAGAGUAAGGCGCCAUGGAGAGGAGGAGAGCUCGUGAGAGAAGAGGCCAUUUUGGAGUGGUGAGGGAUUGGAGAAUUUGGAUCCUUUGUCGACCGUUGGAGGAGGAGAUGGAUGGAUGGGAGAGUGUGGAGAGAGAGAGAGAGAGAGAGAGAGAGAGAGCAAGGAUGUGGCCUUAUCUCAAUUAUCUUGUUUCCGACCGUUGGAUUGAUAUGGUUAUGAUCCGUACCCCCUACGGGUCCAGCUCAGCUGGGCUUGUCCAUAGGCCCAUGGCCCAUUUUGUACACAAUUUUUGCUUAACUUUUUCACCAAAAUGGGCCUAUUUAUGUUGGGCCUGUAUAUGGCCCAUGGACUAAUUUAUAGAGCACGGGCUUUUUAAGCCUCUGUAGAAUAUAUCAAUCUCCAAUCUUAAAAAAUUCCUCUCCUUAUUUUGGGGGCAUUGUGAAUCCCACAUACAUUAUACAUUACUUUUUUAAGAUUUUAAAUACCAUUUUUUUUUAUUAAAUUACCGUACAACUACCGGUUUUACUCCCCCACCAACCGGUCUAUGCAUUAAAAAAAAAAAAAAACCGGGCCGGAUAUUUUUUCCUGCUACUACUAUUUCCAAUCUGAGAACGACCGACGGGUGGAAGGUGAACUCCUACUUUUCCUUUUUCCUCGAUUUCACCUUCUCUCUCUCUCUCUCUCUCUCUUUCUCUCUCUCCGUCCCCAUUUCAUCGAUCUCUCCAAAACCCUAAUACCUACCAGUCCCCCAAGACCCUAAUCCCCUUCGCUCCCCAUGGAUUCCGACCCCAACCAUCGUCCUCUCGACGCCGCCGCCGCCGCCGCGGAGGAUCCAAACCCUAGCCGCUCUUCCGCUCCCGAGCCGAACACCCUCGAAUCCGACGUCGUGGAGCUGUUGGAUUCGCUGACCCUGGACCGAUCCGGCAAUGCGCGCCCCGUAAAACGCCCCACGAGCAACGGAUCUAUGCCCCCGGAUUUCUACAGCUGCGACGAGAUCGAAAUCGAGGAGGAGGAGGAGGAGGAGGAGGAGGGGAAUCCGAGGGAGGAUGGGGCGCGGGGUUCUUCGCAGCGUGGCGGCGGCGGCGCUUCGGAGCAGGAGGAAGAGGGGCCUCCUAGCCCUAGUAGUAGUGGGUAUGCUGGGGAGCGUGGGAGCAGCGUUGGAUCGAGUGGGAUCGAGGAGGUUGAUGAUGGCCGAUCGUCGGUUGACCAUUGGGGUCGCGGAAAACAGCAUCUUGAUGAGGUGAAUGCCCCAAUAAUUUCUAUCUUUUGUACUCGAAAAUGUAUAUAUGGCAAUAAAUUUCAGGUUUAGCUGUUAAAACUGAGUAUAGCUAGUUCAUAGUUCACUAUAGUUAUUACAAAUAGAUACUCGAAAACAACAGUAUACUUCUCUUUUGGAUGCCUAGAUGAAACCGCACCGGAAAAUGGUGAAGAAAAUUGUUAUGAUGGGAAUCUAUCGGGCACUACUGGUUAUUUAUUGUAUACAUAUUAGUCCUGAGUUCGGAUUUGAACUCGAGUUACUUUUAUCUAGCUCGAAUAUGUGGCUUCAACAGUUUGGUAAAGCCACAAGAUAUAGCAAAUUGGAUCAAGGUAGAGACUAUACUACUUCCAUCUGGUAUUUCAUGGGAAGUUUGAACGGCGGGAAACACUUUAUGGUGCAAUUAACAUAUGUCAUAACAUAAUCUGAUGCUAGGAUGGGAAGUCAAAUUUCAGUUUCAGUUUGGGGCUUGUAGAAUUUUGGGUCUGUUCUUUUAGUCCCACAUGUUAAUAUUUUUUUUCAGACACGUUCUUAUGGUACUUAAUCGUUAUUUUAUGAAGUUUGGUCCUGUGAUAUUCUAGUUGUAACCGAUCUACAGGAUGAUGCUUCGGCUACUUGGAGAAAACGAAAAAAACAUUUCUUCAUCUUGAGCCACUCAGGGAAACCAAUAUACUCUAGGUAACUUUACUUUCUGCUUUGGUAUCUAAUAGGUGUGUAACACUUUGGAUGAAGAACAAAAUAUCGCAGAAAUUAGUAAAUUACAUCCUAAAGUUUAAGUAAAAUGAUGUGUCUUUUUGGUAUAAGGCAUCUUAUAACGCUUUCAGGUAUGGAGAUGAACACAAGCUAGCAGGAUUUUCAGCAACUUUACAAGCUAUUAUUUCAUUUGUUGAGAACAGGUAUAAUUAUUAUGUUUGUUAUAUUGAUCAAGUUUUAUUGCAUUUACUGUGCUUGUUUAUUUAAAUCUUAUCCGUUAUGUUUGGUUUUUAUCCAGCGGGGAUCGUAUCAAAUUUGUAAGAGCAGGGAAGCAUCAGGUCAGCCGACACUUCCCUUCCUCAGAUCUUUCUAUGCAUUUUAAAAUGAUCUUCUCCGUUAUAAAUGAUCCUUCACUCAUAUUCUCAUUUUAGUUAAUAUUUCCUACUUUCAGAUAGUUUUCCUUGUGAAGGGUCCAAUAUAUCUGGUAUGCAUAAGCUGUACCGAAGAGCCAUAUGAAGCAUUAAGAGGACAAGUAGAACUCAUCUAUGGUCAGGUGCUUCUACUGCUGCAUUAUCUUAACAUAAUAGGCUGUAUUCGCUUUUGUUUUUGCCUCUUUUUUUUUCCCCUUUUGUUAUGUAUUGUAUUUUGCAACUCAUCCAUUGAAAUAUUAUUUCCUUUCUGAUUUUGUUGUUCUUUCGUGAUGGAAUGGCUGCAGAUGUUACUUAUCUUGACAAAGUCUGUUCAUAGGUGCUUUGAGAAGAACCCAAAAUUUGAUAUGACUCCUUUGCUAGGAGGAACCGAUACCGUCUUCUCCUCUCUUAUACAUGCCUUCAGUUGGUUUGUAUCUUCGCAAUUUUUUCUCCCUUAAAUAAGUAAUUUGAAAUUUUGAAACUGAAUUUGACGGUUUGAUGUAAUUUCCUAAAGCAAAUUAAAGAAGCCUUGAUAUACCCUAUAGUGUACUAUUAAGGGUAUGUUAUAUACUGAUGUCUGCUUUCCUCUUUUCUCAAGGAAUCCUGCCACAUUUCUUCAUGCAUACACAUGCCUUCCUCUUCCAUAUGCAACUAGACAAGCAGCAGGUGCCAUUCUACAAGAUAUUGCGGAUUCAGGGGUUCUUUUUGCGAUAUUAAUGUGUAAGCACAAGGUUUGUCUGAAAUUCUGAUUAUGAUGAUAAGAAAUCAUUUUCAGUUUCUACGGGUACAAGCUAGUAUUGAUGUUAUAUAUUGUUGUUCCCUCAUUUAUUGCACCUAUAUAAUUCUUUCUCCACUUCUCAAUUUGCUUUUCAUCAUGUCCACAAGUUAAUGAAUAUAUAUAUAUAUAUAUAUAUAUAUGAGACUAUAUGAGACUAAUUUUGUGUGUGUCAAUAUGAUGGUCUCAACAGCUUUUAUUCUGUACAAUAUUGCACCAGCUAUACAAGUGACUACAAUAGGUGAUCAUUUGAGAGAUCAUUGUAGGUUGUGUCACACCUAUAAAUGCUUCAUCAGAUGUUGUACAUAUUUUUGCAGUUAGCUUGUUUUUUAUCUGGCUCUUAAUCUGCAGCGAAAGUGGAAACUAAUAAACAUCACAAAUAUUUCAACCUUUUCUGGUUUGAAGAUUCAAUCGAUUUUGCUCGUGUCUUUAUCUUUAUUCUGCUGAAGUACCAUUUUGUUUUGGCAGGUUAUUAGUCUUGUGGGAGCACAAAAGGCAUCUCUUCAUCCUGAUGAUAUUCUUCUUCUUGCCAAUUUUAUAUUGUCUUCUGAAUCAUUUAGGUAAUUCAUAGCGACUUUCAUUAUUAGGUAUUCAUUUGAAAUUCCGUGAGUGGAAAAGUAUUGAACAGGAAUCAUGCAAUGCAGUGAGGUUAACUGCAAAUAAAGUGGGAUCUAGGUCAGUGAAAUGAAGCUACAGCUGCAAAUUAGGAACCAUAGAAUUAAUAGAAAGUCAUUGAGUUGUAAUCACAUAGUUCCAUGUUCAUCUAUAUUGAAAAUGUUGAAGGCUAGGAGAAUAUCUAAACCUCCCUCUCAUGAACCCACUUUGGUGUGAGGUCUAUCAUGUUGUGUUGAUGCAUUAUCAAAUAAAAGAAACAGAGAAAAGAUUAUUUGAUGGAUCUUUGAAGGUGGUUGUGAAACAUGAUGGGAUUAUCUGAACUGCAACCUUUUUGAACUUAAUGGGCAUGGUUUUAAUAAGAGUUAAAUCAAGAACCUUGAAUUUUCAUUGCUAGUCCCUCCUUUUUUGGUGUCUAGAAAAGUUUUCUAUGUCAUACGACAAUUUUAAAGCUAUAUGCAAUUACUGGGUGGUACUUAGUUAAGUUUUGAAGGGCCUACCGGCAUUAGAACAUUAGGACUGCUACCUUUAUUCUUUGGCUUGAGACAUCUGGCAGAUUGAGCUCACCAUGGUCGCCCCUUAUAAUAGCAUUCAGUAGAAACUUGUUCAGAAACUAUUAUAGUUAUUUUAUAUUUGAUUGCUUGUGUUAUUUUCAGAAAGUUAAGUUAUAUGUUUCGUCAAUUUUUUUGUGAUGUUCAUAAGCAUUGGGAUUGCGGAAGAAUCGUCGGAUGAAUCUCCACUGCAAUUUAAUCUUGAUAAAGGGGCACUGCUCUUACACAUUGUAUUCUUGCCUUAUGCAGGACUUCUGAAUCUUUCUCACCGAUAUGCUUACCAAGAUAUAACCCAAUGGCAUUUCUUCAUGCCUAUGUUCAUUUUCUUGAUGUGAGUGGGAAACAGAAAAACUGCUUUCUUGGCAUCUUUGAUUUAUGGUUCAAUUGCCCACAAGGUGUAUUCUUUUGCAGGCGGAUACAUACUUGAUAUUGCUUUCUACCAGAUCAGAUGCCUUCUACCAUCUCAAAGACUGUAGGUGAGCUGUUCCAAAAGAUAACCAACUUAAAUCUAAUGCAUAGGCUUUUCCUCGCUCUUGACAUUUCUUAGCAGAAUGAAGUAUAAUUUCACGUUUCUUACCAAUGCCUAGGGUUCGCAUCCAGGACGUGCUUUUAAAGUCGAAUGUUCUCUGUGAAGUUCAGAGAUCUAUGCUCGAUAGUGGUUUACACGUUGAAGAUCUUCCUCUUGAUUCUUCUCUUCGAUCUGGGUCAAUGCCAGACAGAACAAAGUCUGAAUCCUUAUCUCCUUCUGUGGGCCUUGGUGGGGCCGCAGGGCUUUGGCAUUUCAUAUAUAAAAGUAUCUACCUUGACCAAUACGUGGCAUCAGAAUUUUCCUCCCCCAUAAGCAAUUCUAGUCAGCAGAAAAAGUAUUGCCACUGCUCAUAGUGUUUAUUCUCCAAUCUGUCUCUCCAUUAUCAUUUGUCUUUUCUAAAGUAGAGUUGCCAAUGUGCAGGUUGUACAGAGCUUAUCAAAAGUUAUAUACUUUGAUGCAUGACAGAGGGACUGGUCCACAUAAAACACAAUUCAGAAGAGAUGAAGAUUAUGGUGAGUCUCAUAAGAAAAAAUUAGUUAUCAUAAUUUAAGUUAUCGAGUGGAUCUGGGCCAUAUUAUUCCAACUUCAAAUCCUUUAUGUCCAUUCACCAAUGCUUGUGAAGGAAGAGAAUUCACAACAAUUUUGUGAUUGUUUGGAAGUUUAUUAAUGUGCUAACAUAUUUCAUUUGUAUGUUGCCAGUUCUUCUAUGCUGGAUUACUCAAGAUUUUGAGCUUUAUGCAGCAUUUGAUCCACUAGCAGAUAAGGUUGACUCCUUUUCACGUCUCAUCACUCUUCCUCUCCCGUCUUAUGCUACAAUUAUAUCAUAUAGAUUUUGGGGUAGAAACACCUAGUUACUUCUGGGUUAUGCACGAUAAUUUCAUUCAAGCUGUAAAAACUUGCCAGUAGCUUAUAAUGUUGUUCACCAUACACGGAGCAUUAUAUAUUAGGCCGAGAUGGAGUGACCUCAUUCUAAUUUACGGCGAGUUAUUACUUAUUUCUUUAUUUGUAAAUCCAAAGAUGUUUUAAGUCAGAGUCAACGAGCACAAUGAGGCAAAUAUAGAAAGUAGGAAGCAGGCAGAAAUUGGAUUAUCUUAUCCAGAGAACUGUCAAAAUAUCCUUGGAAAAAAAAAAACAUCUUAGUGGUACAUCUGUUGCUUUGCAGUAAUCAGCAUAACCAUAUCUCCGCCCAUGAUUUAGCUGGGUAGCGGCGAAUCACUGAUAAAUUGCACCUAGAUUUAUUGGGUUUAUCCUGAGCCGGAUAUAUUGGCUUUUUGGGCAUUUUAUUUCUCUUAGUAGCAAAGACAACAAAUUUGCAUCUCCAUUAUGUGAACAUUCAUACGGAUAUAAAGAAAGACUUUCUGUAGCAUAAAGUGCAAAUGCUUAUACGGGGCCCUUCAUUUGUGAGGCAAAGUCUGGAAAAUGUAAAACAAGUUGUGCUAGUAGUGAUUGCAGCGUUCAACAAAAAAUCUUCAGUCUACUCGCUAAUUGCUUGGGUAUUCUGGCAUUUUCUUUUGGGAGUACUCCCUGUAGUAUACCGAAAUUGUUAGUUAGUUCCUGAAUUUUCCAGUUAAACACUAAUCCCUAGACUUUUCUCUUGUGUACUGCAAUUCUGUCCCUGGAAUUAUUUGGCUUUCUUGUAAUUUUAGACUUCUCUCGGAUAUGCUCGACUCACAUGACUUUGACAUGUUUUGUUGGAUUAAAAUUUGCAGGCUCUGGCAAUUAAGAUGUGCAAUAGAGUUUGUCAAUGGGUGAGAGAUUUGGAAAACGAGAUAUUCUUGUUCGGCGCAAACUCCUUUUCCUGGUGAUCUUUUGUCAAGUUUAUGUACUCUCAUUGUACUUUAGUUAAUUUAUUUUAUGAAAUUCUACAUUAUUCAUUUGUUCGUGUCGUCACGAACUCUUGCAUCACUGCGAGCCCUAUAAGAUUAUUAUUGUCGCCUUUGUUGACUCGUGUGCAUAACAAAGUGUAACACCAUACAAAAUUUUGGAAAUAAUUGUUACCUUCAUAGUUGGUUUAUGUAUUCCAACGACGCAUAAGAUUAAGAUAAGGUGUAAUCAGAAUCUCUUCUGUAAGCAAAUAAUGGUUGGUUUGUGCUUUGUCAAAGUAUAGAGAUAGCUUCUUUGGUUGCCUUUCAUUUUAUUGGAGCGCACGGUAGAAUCCACAGCAAACUCAAAAUUUCACAUUAUGGUAUGUCGCAUUUUGUGUUUUUUUUUUUUUUUCCUCGUAUACUUCUUAAUUAAAUCUAGUUAAGCUCUACUGAACCAAAAAAAAGGCGUUGGGAGGGUACUACAUUUUGAUGCAUAAAUCUGGUGCCGAACCCUUCAAAUAUCUGAAGAAAUGAAACGAUCACAACAGAUAUGAGAUAGUGUGUUUUCACUAUUCUGCAACUAUCAGAACCUAUUAGUCAUUGCUUAUUUAAAUUUUGUUUAGUAAAAAAUAUAUAUCAAAUUUGAUGGAAUAAUUAAAUAAUUUGAUAAAAUUUCUUGAUUGAUUGUAGUUAAUGAUAAAAAAAAUUUUAAAAAGAAAAUUGAAAAGUUAUCAGGUGUUAAUUAAAAACAAAAAAAAAAAUUUUAAUUUGAGGGGUCUACUCUGUGUAGUUGAAGCAGGCCCAGUUUAUCUAGCUCGGCCCAACGAACUUUUAGAUUCGGACCAUUUUAUGUCGAGUUGUGUGACCAAGUGGGGCCCAAUACAACAACUAAAUGGGCCCAAUGAAGUAAACCCACGAGGCAAAUGGGCCCACCCAUGGCGCUCACGUGAGCAUCACGUGUUUUCGUAACUCCAUUUUUGGUACGCCUCGGGAUCUUGCCCAAAAUAGAAAGUUUUCACUUUUGUGCGCGACACGUGGGCAUUUUACGUUGCAAACAAUGAGACUGACAUGCGGGCCCCACAUCAAAUGAAAUAAGAAACUUAAAUUAUAUAAUAAUAAUAAUUACAAGACUCUAAAUUAAUUCAUGUCAUUCGUAUCGCAAGGUUAUUAAUCCGAUAAUUGUAGAACAUCUUACCGAUAUUUUCUUUUUCAAAAUCUUCGAGAAGAGUAUCUAUAUCUUUUUGAAUAUCCGAUUAGACAGCCACAAUUAUUUUUUAACCUUUUAAUUACCCCUCUUUUUUCUUUCUUUUUAGAUUUUUUUAAAAAUUUUAGUGUUAAUUUAUUUGUCCAAAUGAAUCAAGCAGGUAGCGGACUAUUUUUUUCUAAAAAAAAAACUUCAAGAUGAGCUUAGCUGCAGUAGAUCCACAUGAAUGAUCGUCAACAAAUGUGAAAUCUCACGAAAAGCAUAGUAAAAUUUACUAAAGACCAUGGGAUAUUUUAUUAGAGUGCUGCACAAAUAUUCGUGGAUGCGAAUAAUUCAAGUGAUUAAUAUAUCAAACAUUCAACAGAAACAUCAGGGUUUCAGAAAAUGUUCCAAAGAUGGUCACUGUUCAAUGCACAUACCUGCAAAUAAAUAAAUAACGAUUACGACAAAUGAAAAUAAAUAUUCAAUUCGGAUUAAUCAGAAAACACCAAAUUAACAAAGAGAAACAUGAUACCAACUCAUCCAGUAUACAUAAAUUACAUAGUUUACACAAAGCACUACAAACAGACUGACAAAAUUCACGCAACAAAAAAAUUAUUCCAAUGCAAUUUAGGCUAUCACAUUUUAAUCCAAAACGCCCAAAAAGAACCAUACGGAUUUGCUAUUUACAACACUACAAUCUCAAUCUAUAGAAAAACUAAGAGGCAGUUAGUUUUUUUUCCUAACCAAAAUAAAGAGCCCCUCUAUCCUUUCCUAACUAAUUAAACACACGCGAGUCGAAACGGUGAACAGAAGCAAAUUAAUGAGACUUUUGUCUUUUAGAAGCCAAUAACGGACAUGUGUUAUAAUUGUUGCCAGCAGUUGAUAGGAUCAUUUGCCUUUUCAUCAUGCACAUUGAGGGCGAGUUCGGGAGAUUCACCAUCGACGUGGUAUUGAACCCCGGGCCUCCAUUCUGAACCGUUCGAUUGAUCCCCGGGGAUCCGUGGCAUUUGAUCGCCAGCGGCGGGACUUGCAGUGGUUGCAGCGGCGGCGGGUUCCGCCAGCUUGGAAGCGGGCCCGCCACCAUCAGGGUCUGCAAAAGGGGGCCCGCCUCCAUCACGGAUUGCAAGAGCUUCCCUUUUUGCGGCAGUGGCUUCUUCGCGGCGAGCCGAUCGAUUAUGGCCGAAGCGUGAUCAUACUUGGAGUUACUACUACAACUACUAUUAUUAUUGUGACACGAAAUGGCAAACUGAGAAUUUGUAUUACUAUUAUCGGUCAAUAAUAGCGGAUUCGCAACGUCGUCCGACGACGUGACGGUCUCGAAGAACGAAUCGACGGGCGAGGACGCGUACGACUGGGGGUUCAGGGUUCCCGAGAGGCUCUCGGAUUCCGUGAUGGUGGUAGAAUUGGGGAGGAUUUUUUGUGUUUCGGGUUGGAGGUAGGAGAGUAGCAGUUGAAGUUGGUCUCGCGCAUCGUCGCGCUCUUUCGUGGUCACCUUCACUAGCUGGAGUAGUUUGUUAAUGCUCUCUUCGCUUUUUCGGAGCUCUUCUUUUGCGGUCGUUCGCAGGGAUUCUAAUUCAAGAGUGGUGCACAAAAGCCUGUGCUUCAAAUCCUCCGCAUUCUGUUUGAUUUGAAUGAAUUCAAAAUAUAAGAGAGAAAUUCGAUUAGCGAGGGAAAAUAUAUAUAUAUAUAUAUAUAUAUAUAUAUAUAUAUAUACACACACACACACGCUUGAGAAAAUCAUUAAAAUAGAUAUUUAACUGGCUAAAGGGAAUAUUCACCGGCGCAGCUACAUCAUUGGUGCAAAUUACUUACCAAAUUGUGAUUUAAUUAAGAAUUUAUCAGGAAUUAUUUGAAAAAAGACAAUUUAGUACACUCACAAGAUAGAACUUACGAAUACAAUAACACGGUAGGGAAAGAAUCUUUAAUGCGGCACAUGUGGGGUCAAUAUUUCCCACUAAGCAAGCACUAAGUAUUAAAUUAAAAACACAAUAAAAAAAAUUAAAUUGAUCACAUCAAAAAAGACACAAAACUUUCAAGAUAAAAAUUAAAAGUUAUAUAUAUAUAUAUAUAUAUAUAUAUAUAUAUUUCUUUGGUGAAAUUAUUUGGCAACAAAAUGUUACUGUAAAAAAAGAUAAUAAAAUAAGACUAGUUUCCUGUAAGAAGUUGGACCAAUCAAUCACGCAAUAACUAUUUACGUAUAGUAAAAUAAUAUUAAAAACUACUACCAAAAAAAAAGUUCUGAAAAAAGAUAAAAGUCUAGAGAAGUGAAACAUCAAGUAGCGGUCCUUUCACUUCUUAUCACCAGGAUUCUUUUUAAUCACAAAAAGAGACAAAAUAAAAAAGCGAAAAAUAAAAUAAAAAGAAAAAAGAAAAAGAAAAAGAAAAAGAAAAAGAAAAAGCCAUUACGUUUCUCUCACACCCAUCGUUCCAAAGCGGCUUCUUUGUUUCCGGUGCACUCGCCUAACCCCAUUGACCAUAACGUCUCACAACGCCCAAAUCACAUACACAAACCCACAACACAAAACACCCACAAAAAUCCUCUUCCACCCAUAACACACAACGUGUACUACACAUUGCUAAUUACCUAUAUUCACAAACUCUAAUUAAGACAACAACAUGUUUCGUCUCGAGAGCAAUCAAACACUAUCAGAUGAAAUAAAGUUCGAACAAAAGCAUAUAUACAUAAAGAGAUCAUAUCUUAACCGAUCCAGUAUGAUCUAUGUGGUAUGUUAUCACGAAAGAGUGUUUUGGCUACGUGUAAUGCGCUCCGCGCGUAAUACCAAACGAAGCCUAAGAAGCAGAAGGAGAACACAGCAAGAGAAAGAGAGAAAGAGAGAGAUGAUGAUGAUACCUCUUGAUAACUCCAAAGAGGAGGUAACCCAUCACUAGAAACAUCUCCAAGGCCCCAAUGCAUAGUCUCCAUGGCUUUUCUCUCUCUUUCUCUCUAUACCUCUAAAGAACUUAUGGGCCCUUGUGUUAUAUAUAAGGAGCUUUCGAGGAGAAAAUAAGUAGUGGGCUUAUUUUAUUUUAUUUUAUUUUCUUUUGAUUUUGAAAUAAUAAUAAUAAUAAUAAUAAUAAGUAAUAAAAGGAAUGUGGAAUUCUCCUAUCAUAGCUUGCCAUAUCAAGUCCCACCCUUAUAUAGAAAAAUACCCGGGAAUCCUCUCCGUUCCUUUUGUGGGUCCCACCCUCUUUUGGCGCCUUCCUAAUGGUCUAUAUUUUAGAAAAAAUUGCCUAAAUUGUAAAUUGUUGUACGAUUUGUUUGUUACAGUAAUUAAUGGUUGAGGUAAAUUCUCUUUAUUUUUCCCUCCUCCGAAGAAACUUUUGAAAUGAUUUAACCAAUAAAGGAAAAUAUUUACUUAUGAUUUAUGGAUCUUUUCUGUGUCAGAAUAUAUAGUUCUUUUGUAGCGUAUAUAGCGUAUAGAGAUUUAUUUUUUUUAGGUAAUAAUGUAAUGUCCAUGAUGGGCUCAUCAUGGGUUCAUGUAGGAUAAUAGUAAUUCUUUCCUUUUGUUUUUUUUUUUUUUUUUCAUUGAAUGAAAGUAUAAUAAACUACAAUCUACAACAUUGUUUAAUUGUCCUUUUCAUCCUGUAUAUUUCUCAUCAAUCUGCUUGGUUUAUUGUUUUAUUUUGCUAUGUUACCGAGAUAGCAUGAGUGUUAUAUGUUGGUUUCAAUUCUUAACAUCUUCAUGAAAUCCUAAUUGAUUCAUAUUUUCAACUAAAAUUUAUUUCUAAAAAAAAAAUUAAACGAAACAGGUAGUAUAUUAAUUUUCUUUUUAAAAAAUUAUAUAUAUCUUCAUCAAAUCAAGAUGCUAUAGUUCAUGACUCGAAGCUCAUGGUUUCUCAUCAACCAUUUAAAUUAAAAAGAAAAAAGAAAAAUAACUCCUUUUACUCUCUCUCUCUCUCUCUCUCUCUAUAUAUAUAUAUAUAUAUAUAUAUAUAUAUAUAUAUAUAUAUAUAUAUAUAUAUAUAUAUAUAUUAUUUUCAAAUAUUAGGAAAAUAUAAUGAUCUAACAUUACAUGGAAGAACUUUAUGACCUAGAGAGGAGAAAUAGAAUUAAAGAAAGAUAAAAGGGAAAGUACCAAGUUAAUCCUUGCUAUGUACUAAAGCUAAAAAAUAGGAAAGAUACUCAAUUGAAGUUCAUCUAGCUAGUCUAUAGCACAACAAUUUCUGUAACAUUUUUUGAAAUAAAAAAAAAAAGAUAAAACAUCAUACAGUAAAAUCAAGAUUCAAAAAGUUUCAAAGACUCAUUUUCAUUUGCACUAUAAUUCCAACUAGCUAGAUCCUUAUAAUUAUUUUCAUGUAAAAUAAAGUUAUAUUUGACUCUCUUCGUUGCAUAUGUACAUAGCUUCUUUGUUCAACACAUGUAGGAAUCAUGAGCCCUAGUUUGAAAACCAUUGUAUGCUCGCUUUUGGAUUAUUAGUGAAGUCGCUUUUCUACAGCAAAUUAAGCUCAAAAUAAGCCAAAUCUACAGUUGACCUACACACCUUCUCUAGUCCUUUUUUUUUUAUUUUUUUUAUUUUCUCGGCCUACCUAGGCCACCUAAUCUUAUAGCAUACGACAAUAUAUCACUACCUAGAUGAUAGGAAUUUUAUACUAUGUACUCAAUUAUUAAUUUAAAUUCCAAAUAUUUUAAAUUAUUAUCAAAAUACUAGUUUAAAAUAAUAAUAAUAAUAAUAAUAGUAAUAAUAAUAAUCUUUGUGAUCCUUUUGGGAGGAAGGAUACGUAUGAAACAUGACAAGGUGCACGGGAAAGCGCACGACGUGUAUUAUGCGGAGAAGCGGCGUUCGGUGUAACGGUUAUACAUCCUCUCUGUGACGCUGACAUGUGGGGCCCCUGAUUGGAGCGUCUUACACGUGUCCUUUGAGAACCGUGAUGAGUGCGCGUUACACCGUAGCAUAAUUCGGCAACCGAACCGGUCCGAGCAUUUUUAUUAUUUAUUAUAUAUAUAUAAUAUAUUCGUGGGUUUGUUUAUUAAUUAUUACGGUACAAGCGGUUGUUGUGCAGUGUCUACAUGGACUUGUAAUUUAACUAGGCCGAGCUUUGGAUUGGUCUAUGAUUUGAUGUAAUAUAUAUUUAUAUAUAGCUAUAGGGGUUAUAUUAUAACAUUCCUAAUUUAAAAAAAAAUAUAUUUCAUGCACGACCUUCAAAGAUUAAGUUUUUAUAAAGCACACCAACAUAAAAUUCCAUUUCCAUUGCAUUUUUUGCGCAUAAAUUAAAGAAUAAAGUAUUAUUUUUCAAAGCUGUUCCGUAUACCAUGGUAUAGGAACAAGAUUUUUAUGCACAUUUAAUUUCUUUUAUUUGCUCAAAAAAUUAUAUAUUAGUUUUUCGAUGAAAAUCUAUCUACAUGUCCUAAAAAAAAAGAAUGUAAAAAUAAAAUAAAAUACCAUUCUCUAGUAUCUAAAGCUCAUAGAGACGAAUUAUAAAUUUUGUUAGCUAAAAGUCAUAGCCGCGCCAAAAUAUGAGAUCUAAGAAGCCUCAAACUUUCCAAUUAAAGAACAUGGAUGAAAUUUUCUUUUUUAUGUAAAUAGGUUUUUUUUUUUUUUUUUGGUCAAAAAACAAAAAAAAUCUCUCUCACAACUUUAAUUUUUAUUGGAACUCGCUUAGCUAGGCCCCUCAAUUAUGUAUCGUGGCCAUUGUGUCCCUAUAUAUAUAUACACACCUUUUGCCUACUUUGUUGCUUUGUGUCGAGGGAGAAUAGUUUAAAUGAUGCUUAAUUAAUUAGUUGGGUUUAGUUAUGGUUGCGCUCACUGCAUGCAUGUGUUAAUCUAAUUACUAGUUAAAUUUUUACAGUGACAUGGCGUUAUUAUAAUCAUUAAUGUAAUCUUAUCUAAAAUGAUGUUUAGUUUAGUUUUAAGAGCAUAUAUGCAGCGGUGUUUCCUUUUACACAAAUUAAUAUAAAAUAAUAGUAGAAACUGUUAAUACGAAAUUUUUUAACUAAUAUUUUAUUGUACACUUCAGAAAACUUCAAUGCACACAAAACGAAUUGUUUAAUUAUAUAUAUUUUGCGGCUGGAGUUACUAUACUCUUACGAGUAUAUGCUCUUUUGUACUCAAAAAAUUUUAAUCGUUGGAUGAAAAAAUAGACGGUUAGGAUGAUAUUACUUUCCAGUUAGAAUGAUAGUGGUUUCCUAAGGUUGGAAUGUAUGGUUGGUUGAAUAGUAUGAUCUAACGGAUAGAAAUGAUCAAUGGGGUGGAUCUAACGGUCGAAAACUUAUGAGUACAAGAAAACUUAUACUCAUAAAAAUAUAGUAGUCGAACUCAUAUUUUGCUGGCGUAAAAAAUGUAUUAUUAUGCUAACACUAUAGAAUUUUUACUACUUUUGAUUAUUCCGACGAAUUUAAUUGCUAAUGGAGAAAACACUAAAACCUCCUGUUGUAAUCAUUCAUUAAGAAUAUUUUACUUCUACAAGCAAUGAAUAAUCAAAUAUUUCACAAAUUAUAUUUUUGCUUUACUAAAGCGAGAAGUGCAUGCAAAUGACUAUUAAACUACAAGAUAUAAAAGUUCCAAUUUAAACUUUUCGUUUCUCUUAAAAGAAGAUGGUGCAUGCUUGUCUAAAGAUCACUGUUUAAAACAGCACUUGCAAAGAAGAUUCAACCCACAAACUUAAAUUUUAUAAUAAUAAGAUAAGAUAACACUAAUUGCUAGAGAAAGUCAAAUUCCUUUACUAAUUAUACAUGCAUCAUGCUUUAACACAUCUACUUAGGGAUGGUAAAAAGCUAUAGCCCAAAAGUUAAAAAUAAAAAAUAAAUAAAUAAAAAAAGGCACCAAUCAAUAUUUUGGCCUAAGCCCCCAUAGGCCUAUGAUCACCCCUCCUCCAACGUAAAUUUACUAGUUUUUGAGGUAAAUAGCACUUUUAGUCCUUAAAACUUUAAUACGCCUGAAAUUAUUAUAAUUUUAUACUCAAAUUUUAUAAAUUAUUGCAACUUUAUAUUUUACGCUCUAAUUGACUUGACUAAAUACUAAUAUUUUGCCGACGUUAAAGUAAUGCGCUGCUAUCUUAUAUAUUACUCGUCACGUCAUUGAUUACAGUAUUACAGCAUCAGCACUACAUUAACGGCAAAAUAUAUUCAACUAAUUAAAUUUAAUUGUAAAAUUUAAUUAUAAUAAUUUAAAAUUUUGAGUAAAAAAUUAUAAAAAAAAUUAAGUUUGAGGACAAAAAAUUCAGUUUAGCGUUAUUAAUUUUUACAUGUAAACGAGCCGUGGGGCCCGCCAUGCCCCUUUUUUGUGCGCGCCACUCCGCGGAGAACCGGACCCGGUCCGCUAAAGAGGUGACCGUUGGUUUCCCCCCUUUUUUCCCGCGGGUUUUUGAGUUUUUAACCCCAACGGCUUUACCGGUCGACCUAAUCAUGUGCCUCCCCACCUCCUCAAACCCAACAAAAGCUACUCUCUCCCUAUCCGCACUCACAAAUUUUCAAUAAAGAUGCCACAUGGUAUUAUUUUAUUCAUAAGAUUGCUUUUAUUAAUUUUUAAAUGAACGGAGGGACGCGGUUUCGACACCUCAUUAUCGUUCCACGUAGCACGCGAAAAGUUAUAGCUAGUUAUGAGAAUAUUGUAAGUCAUCUUUGUGAGCUGCUGAUGGACUGACAGACAUUAUAUGAAAAAUUUUUGCAUUUUAUAAGUUAUGAGUAAUAAUAUUAGAGAUCAUUCAUAAUGCUAUUUUUAUGAGUCGCUAAAUUGCUGAAAUAUAUGUCGUGUUUUAAUUAAUUAGAUUGUAUACACAAAUAGGAAGCCAAAUAGGGUAAAUUCGGGGGCUCGGCGAGUUCUCUACCUCCCGCCCCAUUUCCUUGGUGGGUUAGUGUGGAUUAAUUUUUUUUCUGUACUUUUUUUUUUUUAAUUGUUUAAGCUUAUUUCAUUUUUUUUUUUGUCUCCAACUCUGUUUUUCAUAGCUAAUUGGUGUUUAUUCAAAAUGGGUUAUUUUUUCUUGUUACUUUGGCCUUUAUAUUGGAGCAAGAGCUCUAUCGGACUGGAUCCAUUUGGAUCGCUACAUGCAAAUUAAGACACAACAUGAGUGACUAGCACAUUGAUCUACAGCUCAUAGAUGAUAUUGUUCUCUAUCAGCUUAACAUAUUUAGAACAAUCGGGCAUGUCAUAUAGUACCAAAAAGUGAGGAAUCCAAAGCAUGCACCUUUUUCAAUAGCUAGAACUCUAUGUUUAAUAAUUGAGUUGGAACCUAGGAAUCUAUAUAUGGAUUCAUGCUAAGAAUUGAUGCAUAUCUAACACCAUCUAAUAAUGCCGAGAGCGACUUUGAGACUACAAAGGGCAUCCCCACAUUGACCCAUUGGACUACAAUGAUGAUACGCAUGAGUUUGCAUGAAAGGGUGAAAGUAAAAAAAAAAAAAAAAGGAAAAAAAAAAUCUAAGUCAAAAUGUAUAACAUCUCAUUUUGCAUGGUAAUGCAUUUGAUGAUCUGUUUACUUUGCUUUAUAGUGGAAAGUUCGUGGAUUAGUUAUACUAUCGUUUUGGCUAAUUAAUCAACUACUUACAAGCACAAAGAUAAUAUAAUUAAUUUAACAUAUAUAAGCUCAGAUUCUGGUCGUCCUCUUGGGAGUUAAAUUUAUGGAUAGUUCUAGGUCUCCCCUAUGAUUUCUUAACUUAAUCCACCCACUUUAAUCUCACUUUAAUAUUAUUGCCUCUAAAGUUUCUCAUAUAUAUUUUAUUUGAAUAUCUGAUGCUUCUACUUGAUUGAGUUUUGUACGUACGUGUAUUGUAUGGUAUACGUCGACGGAGAAUACAUACGGGGGAGCAGGAGACGUCUCAAUCAUGAGGUGGGCCCACGGGCCGUGGGCCGAAGCGGCGAUCGACGCGGUUGUCCUUUUGCGAAGGGCGCGCACAUGGCGGAUUAGGUGCGCGCUACGCACACCCCCCAUGUGAAACCCAACCCCCAGGCGACCAAUAACGUCCCCACACGUGUCUCCACGCUAUUGCGCCGCGUGUCCUGCACGUGCGGCGGGGAUGGAAGCGGACAACGGUGGGAGGGACACGUGGCGAGAUCCCCGCGAGGGAUGGCACAUGCGAGGUCUAAGAAAUGUAGGCGCCACGUGCCUCGAGCCCCCACCGCCGUAUAACCAUAACCACCGCUCGUUGUGGAUGUGUAUCGUGUAUUGUAUUGUAUUGUAAUAAUAAUGCAUGGUCCCGUGGAUCCUUCCCUGGCUAAGUUAAAUUAAUCAGCGACUCAUGUGUUCAUUGAAUGCGCAUGAGUUUUGUUAUUACAUGUAAUUAGAAAGAUAAGGCUGAGUCAACAUUGAUUAACAUCGGCUGUUUGUGUCCUUUUGUUGAAUGGGUGGGCGAUACUAUUCAGAUCAUGUUCGAUGAAUCUGAAUACUAUUUACUAUAUACUAUCAUAUAUGAUGACAAAAUGUAAUGCGCGAAUAUGCGAUUAGCAACUAUGUAGUCUCUAACUAUACAAAAAAAACAGUACUGUUAUACUAGUUGCGUGUCCACUUUUUAAAAACCUGAUUGAACUCGGAACAUUUUUGUCGGUGGAGAUAUAGAGGUUUUUUCCUAUUCAGGUGUUUUUGAAGGAAAUCGUGAAUGGCGCAUGAAAAUUGAAAUUGCUUUUGUCCUCGCUUGAAACAAAAACCCGACCACUUUGCUGGGCCAUCUUUGUCGUUAAGAUUGUGUUCGUAAACAUUUAGAUCUCGUGUCUUUUGCUCUCACAAAGCUUCAAAAAGGACCACCAUUUUAUCGAAUUAGAGAGAGAUCUCAAGUGCUUUAAUUUUUCUUCUUUUCUUUUUUGUUUGUCCUUUCCUCGCCUUUCAAAGUUUGAUAAGAUGGGCUUGUUCCUAGUGGGCCCAACUAACACUGUUCUAAUCACUUGUUUGGCCCAUUUGGCCUGCAGCCCAAAAUUUUAGGCCCAAUUUUUUAGUAGGCCGGGCUAGAUUUAGGUGGGUUAAAUUGUAAUUUUUGGAUCAUAUCGAUUUUGUUCUACUUCUUUAUAAUAUAUUAAUUAUCAAAUUUUUGGUGUGAAUGCGGUGCAUGAAAUAUAUGCAUGCAUCUGCUACAGGUAAUAAUUAAUCUCUCAAUAUAAAAUAAAAUUUUUUUUUUUAGAAAAAGAUAGCAUACUACCUGCUUUAUUCAAUAAGAAAACUUCCAGCAAAAAAUAACUAGACACUUCUCAACAGUUAAGAUCAGCCUUCGCCCCUCUUUUUUUUUUUUUUUAUGUUUUGCCCGAAAAGUUGGGGGUUGAGUUAUUUUCUUUCUUUUUGAACCACAAGGGACAUUCAUAUAUGUUGCUAACUCUUCUAUAUCGGCUAUCUCUACUAAAUUAAUUUUUUGAAUAAUAUGUAUAGUAUUAAAACUGUCCCUAAAUUCUUCGUGGGGUUGAUCCUCACACUUAGCUUCUCCAUUAAUUAUAUUCUAUUGGAUAUCACUAUAUAAUAUUCGUUACUUUGAAUAUAAUUUUUUGUUUUGAAUUUGAACAAGUACUGUAAAUACUGCUUAUAAAACUGCCGUUCAAAUAUAUUUUUUUUAAUACAAUUGUAUGAAUGAUUGAUCAUACUUAGCUAAAAAUUUAAUAAUUAGUAUGCAAAUGAAAUAUAUUUCUAAUAAAAAAUAAAUAAAAAAAUAAUUUAUUGUGCAUAAAAAAACAACAACGUGUAGUAACAACCGCAACAAUCGUAACCACUCAAAUAGUCUCCUAAUUAACAACCAAUAGCGUCAACCCGCGUCGGCAACUGGGCCCCACCACAAACUCCGGUCUCCGCCUCGUGCUUAAUGUAGGCUCGGGUUCGGACGACGCCACGUCAUCUGGUCGGCGACCCCGACCCGCCCCAACCGCCAAGCGCGCCGGUCCGAGCUCCCACAGCCAAUCAUUCGUCCACGUGGCGCCACGGGAGUCCCCCGGAGGCCCGCCCCGUGAGAAAAAUACACGUGCACCAACCGUGCUGACGUGGACGGCUGAUAUUGAACGCUCUACGAUUUCCCGCUAAAACGGCUUUUCCCGCUUCUCUACCCGCUUUUCUCUGCUGCUCUAUAUGUAUUAAUGUAUAUAUAUAUAACCCCACCACCUUAACUUGUGCUCAUUCAACAAGUAGCGCUAAUUGUUCUAGUGAUUAUAUAGUUAAGAAAAAAUAAAGUAUAAUUAAAUCACUGAUUAAGUGAAAAGAAAUAAGUAGAAAAAGGAAAAUGCCGGUGAGUCGGAUUGCGAUCGGAGCGCCGGGGGAGGUGAGCCAAACGGACGCGCUCAAAGCCGCGCUCGCGGAGUUCAUCUCCAUGCUCAUCUUUGUCUUUGCCGGCGAGGGCUCCGGAAUGGCAUUUAGUAAGAUUAAUUUCUUCAUAAACUCAAUUAAAUUAAUCUCUAUUUACAUAACUUUCUAAACCUUAAUCGCAGUAUUAGUGAACUAAUCCACCACUUUGUGAUGCUCUUUUCUAUUUCCUAAUGUAGGCAAGCUCACCAAUGACGGAUCGGCGACGCCCGCUGGGCUCAUUGCGGCUGCUUUGGCGCAUGCAUUCGCGCUCUUCGUGGCGGUUUCGGUCGGGGCGAACAUUUCCGGCGGCCACGUCAACCCUGCGGUUACGUUCGCUGCGUUCCUCGGCGGCAAUAUAACGCUUCUCCGGGGAAUUCUCUAUUGGAUCGCGCAGUUGCUCGGCUCCGUCGUCGCUUGCUUGCUUCUAAAGUUCGCCACCGGUGGUCUGGUAAGCAGCUGAAAUCGAAAUUGAGAUCAAACAAAAUAUUUUCGAUGAAAUUGAAAUAGGAAUCAAACUUUAGGACUACGUUGUUCCAACAUAUAUACUGGAUUGAAAUUGUGUCGAUUGUGUAGAACACGGCGGCAUUCGCGCUCUCGGCGAACGUCGGCGCGUGGAACGCGGUGGUGUUCGAGAUCGUGAUGACGUUUGGGCUAGUAUACACCGUCUACGCAACCGCAGUCGAUCCGAAGAGGGGCAACGUGGGUGUGGUUGCACCGAUCGCGAUCGGUUUCAUUGUCGGGGCGAACAUAUUGGCGGGCGGAGCGUUCGACGGCGCGUCGAUGAACCCCGCUGUGUCGUUCGGGCCUGCAGUCGUGAGCUGGACGUGGAGCAACCACUGGGUCUACUGGGUGGGCCCGCUGAUCGGCGCAGCGAUCGCGGCUUUGGUUUACGACGUGAUCUUUAUUGGACGAGACACACACGAGCAGCUCCCAACAAUAGAUUACUAAGAAGAUUCAUUUAAAGUGUUUCUGUUUCUUUUUUUUGCCACUUGGGAGAGGUAGUGUCAAAGUUGUGGGUAAGAAUAGUUGGAAAUGUUGUUCCUAGUGAAGUGUAAUGUUAUUGUUCUUGUUUGUUUCUUCAUUGUUUGGUGUUAAUGAUCGAGUGCAAGAUGUUGUUUAAUGAGUCAAUGUACUUGUAGUUUUUUGAUUGGUAUAUUUGUUGAAUUAAAUGUUUUUAGGUUACAAAUUUUGCAUACUCUUUUGAACAAUAUAACUAGCAUAGCAACCAAAUUUGUUUUUGAAAAAUAUAGCAAUUAAAAUUGUAAAAUUGUGCUUGAUGGUCAAAUCCGUGAGCACUGUAUCAAGGACACUUUCCCUUAACAAUAUGAGAUCACUCUUUUGUGAAAGUAUAACUAAUUAAUAAAGUAUACAAAAGAGCAUUUGCAAAUGUAAGUUGAAUAGUCAUUUGUUUUUUUCUUUUUGCCUACAUCGAGGAUUAAUGUUUCUGAUAAAGCAAAAUAGCAUUCAACACUUCACCUAGGCAAAGAAAUUAUAAUUAAACAGGAAAAGGCAUUCUUGACAUAGUGUCCAACUCCUGGUCAAAGUGUUGUUGCUGCUUUUGAUUUUGGAAAUAUAUAUAGCAUAGCUAUUUUGUAGUAAUAGGAGAGUGACUCUCAAACACUUGAAUAUUUUGAAGUUCUAAAGCAUCGAUCAGAUGAUUUUGAAAAAAUUGUUAUUAACUAGCGAGACUUUAGAUGUAGCUUAGCAGAAUUGCAGAUAUAUCUUUGUUAUAAUUAUUUUUGCAUUAUUUUCUAUCAGAUCAAUCGUUUGGAUGAUAUAUUAGAGUAAGUUAUAAACACCUUUAGUUUCAAAAAUUCUGAAUUUAAACUUCUAUCGUUUAUAUGUUGGCACAAAUCAUUACCAAUUAUACCUAUCCAAAAUGUUUCCGAAAUGUUUCCUAUCAAACGGCAAACUCGGACGAACCCCGCAUUAAUUCAAGAGACCUAUGGAGUCGGCAUCACAUGCUGUUUUCUCCACCGGCUUCAACUUGAAGAGUUGAAAUAACUCGGUAUUUUGAGGUUUCCCGCCGCCGAAUCCUACCAGCAAUAGAAAAGUCCGCUAGUCAAGCCAUCUCGCCACCGACUUCAACCUAAUUGUCCAAUGAAGUCGUCAUUUCGAGGUUCUCCUCCACCGGAUUCAUCGCGAGUUUCGAAGGAGUCGGCAGUGCGAGCUGUUUCGUCAGUAGAACUCGGCGUGUUUGGAGAGUUCAUCACCGACUUCUUCAUUUAUCUGGUUGGGUACAUGGGUCGCUUUGGACUAGUAGUAAGGGAACGAAGGGAACCGUGAUCGCCCUUCCUCUCGCCGACGAUCCCUCGCCGUUGUUUGUAGUCGCCUUCUCCUUCAGGUGAUUACGAGUGCCCAAUUUAUGGAUUCUAGGGUUUCUAUUUUUAUCAUUUAAUCGCGUCUUCUAAUCGAUGCCCUAGAUCUCUGAAUCUUCUCUCGUGCGUCACAUUUGAAGUGUUUUGGUGUUAAUUUGCUUAGGGAUCUAUGUAGAUCUUCGUUAAAUUGAUGUUAUUCUUGCUUUAUGAGAUUUGGAUGCACCGAUCGGAUGUUUGUAAAUUGAGUAGUAGAAGAAUGUUCUAGGCCCGGUUGAGCUGGAGCAAAUUGGUUAAAAAUUUGGGAUUCGUUUCCAAUUUUUAAGCAUUUAUAUAGGUGGAAAUGUUGGGUGUUACUGAAGCCCAACCAAGUUCUUUAGGUAGGCUGAGAUAUCGUUUAUAAGGUGAAAAAGUCCUGUUUUGGAUGCAUAAACAUGUUGUGCUGCAGAUCUCUUUGGUUUACUCGAGAUACUCGUAUAAUAGGCAGUGUGCAAGAUGUUUGGAACGAGACCUUUUGUCUUCAUACGACAAAUCAAUUUGCAGAUGGAACGCUUUGACUUGAAAAUCAUGAUUCUGAGGACAUUGCAAUUAACUAAAAUCAAUGCUCUAUUGCAAGCACAAAACAAAAAUCUAAAGAUAACUUGUUCCGACAUCCAAACAAGCCUAAGGAAUCUUCCUUAGUAAAGAAGUCUAGGAAUUUUCCUCGUUUUUUCAAAGACAACGUGAAUUAAGAAUUGACUGACCCCAUACUCUGUAAUUUCUAUUGUUUGGAGACUCACUCAGCCUUCGUCUUUACUCUCCACCUCUAUAUUCUCUAGAUGUUAUUUUUCCUCCUCCAAACACAGCCAACCAAUGGAUUGGUCCCUGAAAUUAGAUGUAGUUUACCACCCAAGUCUAUUCAUUUCUUAACUUGACACAACUUUUGAUAUUUACGAUUUGCGAUUAACUGAACAUGGCUGCCGCUAGGUAACUGUCAGUGCCUAUGGACCGCGUAACGUGUCUUUUCUGUACAUGCUCAUGCCCCAGCCUAACUCUUUACUUUGUGGUCCCUAGUAAAACAAUGAUCUCUUGCUCAAAUUAUUUGUUCCUUUGUUUAUUGUUUGUGUAGGUAAUCUUAUGUAUACAUGUGUUUAUCAAGCUUAAGGAAAUACUUCAUCAACCACUAUCUACUAUUUAAUUUUCUGAUCACAUGAACCUAAGAUUCCAUUUCUAUUUUUAUCAAGGAGAUCAUCUUUAUCAAGUGCUAGAUAAGACUUACGCUUGGCAACCCCAAAGGUUGGAUCAUACUUCAAUAAUUGCCUUUCAUGGUGUGUCAUGCUUUCUUUUGUCUAUCUAGUUCAAUCUUGUCAACAGAUAAAGUCUCCAAGAAAUGUUAAUCGUGAAGGUAAGUGGAAUUUAGUUGUGCAUGCCUAUAUAGAUGAGGUAAGAUAAGGUCACUCAUUUGUUAAAACCUUUGGGAUAACAUGGUGCAUGCAUAGGUGGACACAAUUAUCUAAUAGGUAUUAGAUUUGUGGGACCUGCAUGAAUUUUCUUUCGCCCACUUAUGUACACACGAAAUAAAUUAUCUUACUUUUUGCUGCUAAGAAGAAGUAGAUCCCAAUGGGGAGGAUAUUGCAUUAUGGAUUCUUGUAGUUAGACAGCUCUUAGCUUGAGAUUGAAUAGAUAUUUAUGACUUCCCUAGGACGUAUGGAGAUAUAGAUAUACUUUCAGUAAGGAUUCGAUACAAGAUCACCCUCUCACUAAGAAAGAAAGCUGACAAAAAAUGAAAACAGAAGACUCGUAGUUCAUGUCGCAUGUACAAUAUAGUACUCAACUGUUGUAUCUCUCAUACCAAAGGAUAUAUUUAUUUUCAACCUCAUCCUUGAUCUAUCAUGAAAAGGACCUGGGUGCUAAUUGGUUCGCCGGUAAUAAAACCAAUCUAAUCUUCUUUGCCGGUCAUAAUUUUUACUGGUUUGGUUCUUCAAACAUCUCAUGCAUGACGUUAUCAACUUGCCGACGAAUAUUCAAGAUUGAGACCACUCAUCUGCCAGAAGUAAUUAGUGAUGCCUUACCAUUUUCAGUUUAAUAUAGCCCUUGGAUUGUGUAGGAGCGUAGUGUUUCUGGAUUUCUCUGGUAUCUUGGUUCCUUUGUUCUGCUAUGUGGGCCCAAAUAGGCUUUCAUUUUUUUGUUCUAUUUCAUUUUUGUCCUUUUUUUAAAAUUAGAAGUACCAGGACCACCACCAUCUCCCUUUUCCCUUUUUUUUUGUUUGUAUAUUUUUGCGGGAUUGUUGGCGGAGGGAGAUAAACAAGCCGGAGGACCACCAUGUUCUUCCCUGAGCUUUUAUAAAAGCAUAUACUCCCUCUCUUUGUUGAGAUCUAGAUGACAGAGAUUCUUAACUUUGCAUCUUUUAACCCGAUACCAUCAGAGUAUUACCACUCGUUUAUCUGUCAAUUAAAUAACAAUGGAGAGAAUCAGUUCUCACCCGAACUAAUAAUGAUGAGGAUUAUGCACUCCUAGAUAUAUUUCAAGAAAUACUUAGCAGUAUAAUUUGCAACUCAGCGGAGGAUGGUUAUCUUUUUAUUAGCCCUUCUUAACUGCAGCAAUCGAUAAGCAGGAGUCGCGUUGUUUACCGAACAACUUACAGAAUAUUGGUUAAUUUUCACUGGAUUUUUAGCCUCUUGAUUGAGGAAAUUUGGGACAUAGUUGGGUUGUCUAAUCAUGAAUAGUGUAUUACUCUCUUUGUACUGUACACUCUGCAUACUACAGUGUUCUUCAUAAUUCCACCACUUUCUCUUGCAAGUGGAUCACGAGGAAGUGCUUAGCACCACCAUGUUCCUUUUAGACAUGUUUUCAUCAUUUUGCGUCUGUGACUACUAAAUCCUCAGAGGAAUCAGCUCUGGUACUAUUAAUAAACUGUUUUGUUUUUGUUAGCUUUGGUAUAACUAUAACGAACUAGGCUGGAAUGCUAUCAAUAGCACUAAGUUGUUGGUGCUAUUAGGUUUUCAGCUCUUGGAUGAAAAAAUAUACGGUUGGGAUGAUGUGGGCCCCCUAGGGUUGAAUGAGUUGUUGGUUGAAUAGUUUUAAUCUAAUGGGUGAAAAUAGUCAAAGGGUUAAAUCUAACGGCGGAAAACUCGGUAGCACCAAAUGCUUGAUGCUAUCGAUAAUAUCCCAGCCGGACUCUAAAUAUAAUUAUAACACGUCUUUCUUGAUCAUAUAUGUCAUGCAAGUAAUAUACACUGUUCUCUUUUCCUAUCGCCACCAAAUAAUAAUGUGUUACAUAUCAUUUGUUGUUAUAUAAUAUACUAUAUAUAUUCUUGCAACAAAAUUAUAUUUUGUUCACUAUCUUUUUUUUUUUCCAAGAAUAAACAGGGAGAAGAUCCUCCAUGGUUGGUUUGGUUUUUAUAUAUUUAGGAGUAUAUCCUACAUGAUUCUGAUUUUUGAGACAUUGUUCUGAAAGGUUUGUUUGAUUUUCUAGGACAGCUUUAUAGAAACUGGAAUAAAGCUCUUCCAUAUACAGCACUCAUUUUACUUAUUAAUACCAUCAGUCCUUUAGAGGUAAGACCCUUGUGUUAAAAUAUCUUACUCUUGAUCUGAAAGAAUAGCUAUCUUUUGCAGUCAGUGUGCAGUGUGGUGCAUAUAUUGAAGUCAAUGUUUUAUAUAUAGUCAAUGUUUUAUAUAUAGUAUGGAUCCCAUACAACCUUAGGAUUAACUCAUUGAUUAUGCCCGCUUGUAUUAAUCUGCAUCCACUGUAUAAUGUGCCUCAUUUAUAAAGAACUUCUAGAAGAUCAAUGUCUUCCAAUCCGAAAGAAUGACUGGUUUUGGGUCAGUCCGGCUCGUCGGGUCCAAGUCAGAAUUAAAUUUGGCCGGGUACAACAAUUAAGAAACAAAGGGAGAAGCUAUCUAGGUCGACUAAUUAGGUUCUUAAAUAUAUAUUGAUCUGUUUGCGAAUAUCUUAAUAUUAUCUCACCCUAACCUAUGAAAAAGGAAUUUAUUUUCCUUUUAUCAAAUUUGAAUUUUGAUUGAAUUCUUGGUGUGGAGGGUGCAGGGUUGGUGGGGGGUUAGUUCUUGGUGUGGAGGGGGCAGUGGGUUGGUGUGUGGGGGUAUCAAUAACCUUGCUCUUUAGCACGAGAUUAAAAGUUGACUUCCACGUCAACCAUACCCAGAGGCUUAUCAGUUUAUUGGAUAUCGAUUUGUAGAUAUGGAACUCUUAUUGAUCCAAUUUGAAUUUUGCUCGGAACUAUACUGUGAUGUGAUAAAAUCGCGCUCUAUCCACCUCAAGUGGAUAACAUCUUCCUCCAUCAACAAGACCAAUCUUCAAAUUUGUGUCAUCAUCCACCUCAAAUUGACCUACCCUUGUAUAUUGCUUGUUAGAAUGUGUGCUCUAAGACACACGCAGUUAAGCAUUACCAUUAGCAAGAUUGGUUGAUAAAGCAUUAGGAUUAUUUUAAUUGGAAGAUAAUGCUAUAUUAAUCAGUGACUAGGACCACUCUAAUUAAAAUUAUUUCAAGGAUGGAACCCCCUAGAGCAUAACACUUCCUUGCACCACUUUUUUUUUCUUUUUUUUUUUUCCCCUUUUCUGUUUUUUUUUUUUUGGGCUCCCUUAUCGCUACCACUAACUCCCCACUGCCAACUUGCUUGAUCAGCUGUAGCUACUGCACUAGACACCCCCACUAUAAUCCUUCUAUCUCAUCAGGCCACCUAUUGUUUCACUAAAGUAGCAUGUAGAAAGGGAAAAACACGUUUAUGUAGGAAUACUCCCACAGUGAGGCGGUCUAAUCUACCAACCAUCAAGUGUAGUACUCGAAUCUCAGAGUAGUGUAAACGGUUUUUAGUCUGUAUCACUGUAGGAAGUUCAAACGAAAGAAAUCCUCUCACUCCCACAAUCCUCUUUCCUCUCCUCACUUAAAUGGCCUCAUCAUAUGGGAGUAAAAACAGAAUGGGAGUGAGAGUGCAAUGGAUUGUUAAUAUGCAAGGAAAGUCGUAUUACCUUUAGAGGACAAUAUUUUUGGCCCUUUCUCUCUCUAUGGUCUAUACUGUGACUUCAAUUGUUACAUUUAUGGACUUCAUGGCAAAUAUCUCGAUGUCGAAAAUAGGUUAGAAGACUCGUGCACAGGCUCACAAACAUUUGCUGCAGUUACUAGCUUCAGUGCAGCAUGACUGUUUUUCAAACAUUUAAAAGUUAAUUCAAGUGAAUUUGAUUUGUUCCAAGUAGAUAUUGCUUCGAUUUACAGUGAAGUUUUUGUUAGAAUCGUUUUGUUUCUUUGCCAACCGAUUCAGUUAUAUUAAACCAAUGUGUGUUUCUUUUUCUGCUUUCGAUUAGCGUUUGAUAAUGAAGUACAAGAACAAGUAAUAUUGUAUCACCAUAAACUAGGAAACCUCUAUAUCCAUCAGGGUUGAUCAGAGUUACAUUUUUAGACAAUGUUACGGUGAUCUAAGGUAAGAUAACAUUGACAUAUGUAGGACUAUAGAUCUCUCAAAGAGGACACCCUAAAAUUCUACACAUGACCAUACAUGGUUUUUACAGGAAAAACAGGUCUAGUUCUCUACUGUAGCAUCUCUUCUAGUUAUAGACAGGACUAGGAAGAGAAGUGAGCCAUAGGCUUCUCAUGAAACUCUAGUUAGUGCCAUCAGUAGUUGACAGCCCGAUCGUUAGGAGAACGCAAGGUCGGGAAUAAACAUCUUGAGUUCUUCUUCAUCAUCAUUUAUCCUCCACAAAGAUUCAGUGGAGUACUCCCAUAUAGGAGAAGGCAUUGAUGGGCCUGAACUUGUACUGCAAACCCCUUCAUUCUUAUAUUCCUCGAAGCUGAAGGUAUUGUUGAAGGGCUCAGAUGCUGCGAUCUCGUUCCAAAGUUGAUCCAUUGGAUACACUUUCAAAUCUUCUUCAAUUGAUGAGUUGCUUUGUUCUCUAGUAUUGCUUUCACACUCAUGCUUCUCAGCUCCAGCAUCUAAGGGGCCUUCACUGGCUGAGGAAGUAUUACUCGAGGAGGAGGUGGAGGAAGAAGAAGAAGAAGAGGGCGAUGACGAAGAGGGGGACGAGGUCUUCCUUAGCUCUUGCGCCUUCUUUCUCAUGUGGGUCCUCCAGUAGUUCUUGAUCUCGUUAUCAGUGCGACCCGGAAGUUUUCGAGCUAUUCGCGACCACCUACAAGAAAACCUUAUCUAGAUCAGCACUGCAACUUCUGUGCCAGUUGGCCUAGCUUUCUGAACAACUUGUUUUACUUGAGAAAGUAAAAAAAGUGUGAAAACUAGGCAAUCAAACCAGCUCGUAGCAGCAUAAUAUAGAGGAAAGGACUUUGGACUGAGGUAAGGAAGAAGGAGAACACUUGUCUUGAUUGGAUCAAACCUAUUCCCCCAUUUAGAGUGGAGUUCGAGAAUGAGCUCUUCUUCCUGAGGAGUCAUGCGGCCGCGUUUGAGGCCGGGGUGAAGGUAGUUCACCCAGCGGAGCCUGCAGCUCUUUCCUGUUCUAUUAAGACCUACAACGUGAAGUCAAGCAAGGUUAAUCCAGAAAUAAUUUCCAAGUACAUUUAUAUGGCCUUUAUAUAUAGCCUGGGGCUAUAUAUAGCCAUUCCCCCGCCACCGCGCAAACCUGACACCUUUGCUAAGAAAUCCCAACGACGUUCACCGAACAAUCCCACAAGCCAUACCAGUUGUAGGUCCUCCUGCUCCGUCCACGGCCCCUUUCGGAUCUCUCCUCCUUUUUUCGCUGCUACCAUCGCCGCCUUCUCGUUCUCGGUGUUUGUUUCGAGCCCCGCCUUUUAUGAUCCUUCUCUCUUAUUCUUCUUUGCACUCAGUACUGUGCUGGUCUUUAUGCCCACUCUUUUCUUUUUAUAGGCACCAGCGCAUCGUCUAGGUGAUGUCAUGUUUCAUCUCUCUCUCCCCAAACACACGCACACGCGCACAACCACACACAAAUACACACAAAAGUAAACAAAUUAGUGCACUCGAUGGGUUAUAUAAUUUCGUAACUAACCUGUGAAGUGGUUAAUGGUACUUUUGUGUAUAAAGUAUAGGACCUGUGGUACUAAUUGCGGCUACCGAAAUGAAUAGAUUCAUUUGAUCUAAAUUCUUCACAGGCUCAGGGCCCUCGUGUCCUUGCAAGGACAUAACAAAAGUAGCAACUAAUAACAAUUCGAGAUCGACAACACCGUCAAUUCUUUUGUCAAUUUCUUACCAAAUGCUGUGUCUCCUUUUCACUCCGUUUUUUGGUUUUUCUCCCCCUUUUUCCUUUUUUUUAUUUUAAAAAAACUGAAUAUUAGUUACUCAAACCUGCUAAAAUGGUAUCCUUCUUUUGUCUUAUUGAGGGGCCUCAGAGAGUAUUGUCUUACAUUAAUGAAUGGGUGAUGGAAGCUUGAAAGUGCGCCUCCCUCAUGCUAGUUAUUUCUUGAUGUAAUUAAAAAGAGAAAAACUAUACAUAUUAACUCUCUACUAGAAGCCAUAUAUUACUAAAUAAUUCAGGUCGCCAAUAGGAGAUUGUCACGUUAUUAGUUGUUGAAAGAUGUAAAACUUUGUAAAUAGGGGAAGUGUAUUUUUCUUGAUAGAAAGGUAGUAUCGCUAUCCGUUUUGUUCUUUUAUUUUUUUUUAGAAAUAAAUUUAGCUGAAAAUCCGAAGCAACUAAGCUUCAAACUUAGAAUCUUGGAUACCAAUGAUUAAGCUCUUUGCCAUUUGCAGUAGGGACGGUCAGUAAGUGUAUUUUUCAAUAUUGCUAAGAGCAUAGGUUACUUUGGAGAGAUGCAGAAAAUAUGUACGAUAAAUAUAGUUUUCUUGUGUAGUUGUGCUAGGUUUAUAACUGAGAGUUGAUCGGGGUCUUACAGCUUCACCAUUCAAUCGCUAAUUUUUUCACACUAGUCUUAUCGCUUUCUUUUACUGCUUUUAAUACGAAAUCCAUAAUUACAACCACACUUUUGGCUGUAGACUAAGCAUUUUUCUUCAUUGUUUACUCGAAGGAUGUUUACUAAUCACCUUGUGGCACAUUCACUAUCUUAGUUUUUCGACAAUGAAGUAUCAGAAAACCUUAGAUACAUACUCUGGAGUAUCACCUGCAGUAAAACGAGAGCAUGAAUUGUGGAACGCAGAUGAAGUAAUAAGCAAUUGAGAUAAAGCGUUCAAUUUUUAAUCUCUUAGUGUGCUCUUCAUCUGAGCCAGAUCAUUGAACAUUGAGAUUGGGGUGGUGGUUAACUCCUGUAAUGAAUAUUAUUAGUCUCGUAUUAGACACACAUUAGAAUCCUGACUCACAUACAAAUGCUUAAAGAUGAUGGAUACUCCCAAGAGUUUUCUCAUAAAACCCCAAUCCAAGGAGUCGUUUUUCAUCUUUUGUAAGUUGACUUGUGUCUAACUCAUUUGUUUGCACACGAAACAAAGUACGAGUUAGGGAGAUUGCACUUCUAUUGUGGAAAACAUAUGGGCAAUAGGAGAGCGCAUGAUGUGACUCAAGUUUCGCAACCAUACACAUUUUUGGCUUCAAGAUCCAAAUGAUGCUUCACGCUGACAAAGAGGGUGCCCAAACUUUAUAGAGAUAUAAAGUGGCCGAGAGAGCAUGAGGAAUCUCUUGAGCCUCGUAUCACCUCUCGUUUGCAUGCUGGUGCAUUUAGGAAGUAUCUUUUGUGGUAGAUGAAAUUUAGUGAUCUCUCUCUCUCUCUCUCUCUCUCUCUCUCUCUCUCUCUCUUUAAGAGAGAAAUGGAGGAUGAGGCUUAGCAAGCAAGCACUUUUGACUCUUCAAAUUUUAAGGAGACGCUGUACUCUCGGAAAUAGCCGUAUAUGCGUGUAUUUUUCUCGAAAGAUGUUAUGUUCUUAUGUCCUUAAAAAACACAUUUAUGUUUCGAGUUUUUAGAACUUUUUAUCUACUAAAAAGACGCACUAAGGAGCGUACAAGCUUGUUCAAAAAUAAAAUAAAAUGAAAUAAAGUAGCAGAUAAAAAGCACGAUGUUUUUAAGAAAAACAUUUUGACUAUACUUUUGCCUCUCGAUUAGAAAAAUAAAAUUAUUCGAAACCGAAGACAAACUACAAUAUAUCCAUUAGUUAAUAUAUAUAUAUUGUUAUUUAGAAUAGUCUCUCUCUUUUUCUUUUUCUUUUUAAAUUUUUUUCUCUCUUUUUUUUUUUUUGGUGUCGCCGUAACAAUCUAAUGACCAAACAACGCACAUGGCGCUCUCUAAGCCACGAAAAAAUCAACUUGAUUAAUAACCUCACGUUCGAACUGUUACUCUUGUCAACAUCUUAGGGAGAAAGUGGAUUACGAACGCAAUUGCACGCCAAUUUUGGAGAAAUGGAUACGCGUGUUUAACAUUUAACAAGAUCACAUCCAAUCAAACAGUACGUACAUUUAUUCAACGCUAAAGAGAUACGAUUUCGAAUAUAAAUAUGAAAAAUAAAGACGUGAUGGAUUCGGAUUCGAGUACGGAUUUUAUAUAUAUCUAAUCCGAAACCAGAUAGAUUUUAUAUUUAUAUAAUUAAUAUGGAUGUUUGAUGUUAUAUUUAAAUUUAUAUUUUAAAAUUUUUAAUUUUAAUAUAAUAUUAUUUUUAAAUACGGUAAAGAAAAAUAAUUGUUUUGGUUUGGAAUUUUCAGAUUAGGAUUUUCGAAAACUCGCCUCAAAUCCGACUCAUUGAGUCCCUAGUCGAGUUUGGUACGGUAAUUUGUCAAACAUUUCGUGGCUUUGAGCUUAGUAAUUGAUUUACGCAUUCGAAAAUAAGAAAAAUGUAAUUUCAAAUUAUUAGAAAAUAAACAGCUGAUAUAGAUCAACAUAUUAUUCUAAUACUCAUUUUAUUUUUUUUAACUUGUAAAUGAUUAUUUUUGCGAAAAAAGCUAUUUUGCUUAGUUGGCUAGGUGCAUUUAUUCCUCACCACUUAUAAUCAACGUGCCAUAUAUCUUUGCAAAUUAAUUUUAAAAUAAAAUUUAAAUUUAAAUUUAAAUUUAAAGCUAAAAUGAAUUUUAAAUUUAAAGAGUUAUUGAUGGCACGAGCCCAUUUUUUAGUUAAUUUUUAUAUAUUAAUCUAUUUCUAAGAGUAUUUUAAAUUUAAUUAUAACGUAAGUAUUUCUUGUUAGUUAAUUACUUAAUAUUUUUAUGCCCAUUUAAAAUAAUUAUAUAACUUUUUAAAUAAAAAGUAUUUUUAUAUACUUUUUCUUAAUUUUAUCUAGGAUUUUGCAUGCGUUUUUAGAAUUUUUUUUUUAAAAAUUCGUUUCAAUACACAGAAUAUAGAUUUAUUAUACACGGAUAUAAAGAAAGGGGCCUCGUGCGGUACACUCACCGCUCAGUAAUUGUGACCGCUGAUUCGUUUAGUCCCCAAACGCCAAAAAUAAUUAUUUUGGAGCAAACCGGGCGAUGUUGAGAGGGGGGGUGAGCUUACCGGGAGUGACCGGACCCAUCCAGAAGCUGUAGCGCGGUACGUUCACCGCCCAGUGUUGGUGACCUCAAUUUUUUUAUUUUUUUUAUUCCAACCGUGGGAAAAAGGGAAAAAAUAAAAAAUGGCGAAUGAGAUAAGCUUUUUUGUACGUGGCGUAAACUCUUUUGGGGUGGCCAAAAUCAAAAACUUUUUCAGCAUUGCAUUGUGUUCUAUGUAUAAUAUAUUUUUUUUAUUCAGUUGUUCAUAUGCUUUUAAAUUUUUUUAAGUAAAUAAAUAAAAUAUACAUAUAUAUAUAUAUAGAGAGAGAGAGAGAGAGAGAGAGAGAGUUGAGCUUCUGUAUUUUUAAAAGCUUAGAAGGAUUUAUACUUUUUAACUUUUCAACCAUCCAAUUGCUUUAAAAUUCGCACAGUAUUAUUAACGGUAUAUCUCAUUAAGUUUUUUUUAUUAAUGCCGUACAAAUAUUUAAGUGAUCCGACCACUAAAAAAUUACAAACACGUUAAUCUCCUGUAUUUUUAAAAAUAUAUCAAUUUAAGUGUAUAAUUUAUCUUCUUUUUGAAUAUCUUCUUAAUUUUUCUUUUCUCUCAUCCUAAUUAAGAGCACAAGAACUGCUAUAUUCUUAAUAGUACAAUAGUCCUACUCUCUCUCUCUCUAUAUAUAUUGAAAGCAAUAUAAAUAGUUAAUUAUUUAAUUGUUUUAAUGUGAUUUAUAUUCUUUUAUUACAUCUAAACUAAUUAUAUAUUUUUUAAAUAAAAAGUGUUUUUCCGUGAACUUUUUUUUAUGUAGCGAUCCGCCUCGUCAACCGUACUAAGGACUACGGCGAUGCAUCGCCCAUUCGCGCUCGUGCGGCACGCUCACCGCAAGGUUAUGGUGACCGCGAAUACUUUUGGACGCCAAACACCCGAAAAAAUUAAUUUUGGAGCUAUUUGGGUGAUGCUGUAAAGGGAGUGAGCUCACAGGGGUGACCAGACCCUACCUACUCUGGCGCGGUGCGCGGUGUUCGUUGCUCUUUUUUUUUUAUUUUUUUUUUAUUUUCUGUUUUCAACCCUGGAAAAAAAAUUAUAUAUUUAUUAAUGGGGAAUGAGGGCGCUUUUGUAGUUUUGUAUGCGGCGUAUUCUCACUUAGGGUGACCAAACUCAAAAACCUUUCCUUCGUUGCAUUGUGUUAAUAGUUAUUUUUUAACUCAGUUGCUAAUAUUAUUUUGUAAAAUUUUGUAAGUAAAUAUAUAUAUAUAUAUAUAUAUAUAUAUAGAACUAGGCUAAUAUACUAUUAAUAGCACUAAUUUAUUGGUGCUACCUAUUUUUGGCCAUUGGAUUAAGAGUUGUGUGGUUAGGAUGAUGUGGGCCCUCUAGGGUUGAGUGGGUAGUUGAUUGAAUAGUAUGAUCUAACGGGUGAAAAUUAUCAAAAGGGUAGAUCUAACGGCGGAAAACUUGAUAGCAUCAAGUGCUUCGUGCUAUUAAUAGCAUAGUAGCUGGACUCAUAUAUAUAUAUAUAUAUAUAUAUAUAUAUAGAGAGAGAGAGAGAGAGAGAGAGAGAGAGAGAGAGAGAGAGAGAGUCUGGUUGCAAUACUCUUAUAAGUAUAAGCUUUUUUAUACUUAUAAAUUUUCGAUCGAUAAAUCUUUUGAUCAUUUCCACCCGUUAGAUCAUACUAUUCAAUUAACCAUCCACUCAAUUCUAGAAAACCACUAUCAUCUUAAUUGGAGACUAGUAUCAUCUUAACUGUAUAAUUUUUCAUCAAACGGUCGAAAAUUUAUGAGUUUAAAGGAAUCUAUACUUAUAAAAGUAUAAUAGCCCCAACCUCUCUCUUUAUAUAUAUAUAUAUAUUCCAGCUACUACACUUUUAUGAGUAUCGACUCUCGUAUACUCAUAAGUUUUCGGCCCUUAUAUUUAUUCCAUUGAUCAUUUUCACCCGUUAGAUCAUACUAUUCAACCAACUACCUACUCAACCCUAGGGGACCACUAUUAUUCUAAGUAGGGACCAUCAUCAUCCUAACGACACAUCCCAUCAAUCAAAGGUUAAAAAUUUAUGAGUAUAAGAAGGUCUAUACUCAUAAGAGUAUAGUAGCUCCAGCCUAUAUAUAUAUAUAUAUAUAUAUAUAUAUAGUUGGUGAAAUUAUUGCGUAUAAAUAUAGAUGAUAAAAUGUAUGAAAUAUAUAUAGAUUUUAAAUAAUGUAUAGACCAGUUCAACGGUGAAUUAUUUACAAUUUUAUACUUUUGUAUGUAACCGGCAUUAAAUUUUUAAUUUUCUAAAUUUGUUAGUAUUAGAUUUGUGGUCUGUGGUAGACCAGGUUUAAUUAGACAAUAAUAUCUCAUCGGAAAAAGAAGAGUGCGGAAGAGAGCCAAAGAGGAUUGGACGGAAUAUUGCUAAAAUAUUCAACCGUGUGAGAGAGAGUAAGGAAUGUAGACCCGCUAAAAAUAAUAAUUUAUUAAAUUUAAAUUAUAGGUUCAAAAUAUUUAAAUUUAAUUAUUAUUAUUAAUAUGUAGAUCUUAUAUGAGUGCGGCUAGUAUCUUAUUAUUAUUAAAUUUAAUUAUUAUUAUUAAUAUGUAGAUCUUUUCAUUAUUUCUAACUAUUGGAUUAAAUACUAUAAUUCAGUGGGGACCACUCAAUCCUAGGGGGACCACUCAAUUCUAACCGACUAAUAUCAUCCUGACUCUACAAUUUUUCAUCCAAAGGUUAAAAACUUGAUAGCAAAAAGAACGUUUUACUAUUAAUAGUAUUCCAGCCAAAUUAUAUAUAUAUAUAUAUAUAUAUAUAUAUANNNNNNNNNNNNNNNNNNNNNNNNNNNNNNNNNNNNNNNNNNNNNNNNNNNNNNNNNNNNNNNNNNNNNNNNNNNNNNNNNNNNNNNNNNNNNNNNNNNNNNNNNNNNNNNNNNNNNNNNNNNNNNNNNNNNNNNNNNNNNNNNNNNNNNNNNNNNNNNNNNNNNNNNNNNNNNNNNNNNNNNNNNNNNNNNNNNNNNNNNNNNNNNNNNNNNNNNNNNNNNNNNNNNNNNNNNNNNNNNNNNNNNNNNNNNNNNNNNNNNNNNNNNNNNNNNNNNNNNNNNNNNNNNNNNNNNNNNNNNNNNNNNNNNNNNNNNNNNNNNNNNNNNNNNNNNNNNNNNNNNNNNNNNNNNNNNNNNNNNNNNNNNNNNNNNNNNNNNNNNNNNNNNNNNNNNNNNNNNNNNNNNNNNNNNNNNNNNNNNNNNNNNNNNNNNNNNNNNNNNNNNNNNNNNNNNNNNNNNNNNNNNNNNNNNNNNNNNNNNNNNNNNNNNNNNNNNNNNNNNNNNNNNNNNNNNNNNNNNNNNNNNNNNNNNNNNNNNNNNNNNNNNNNNNNNNNNNNNNNNNNNNNNNNNNNNNNNNNNNNNNNNNNNNNNNNNNNNNNNNNNNNNNNNNNNNNNNNNNNNNNNNNNNNNNNNNNNNNNNNNNNNNNNNNNNNNNNNNNNNNNNNNNNNNNNNNNNNNNNNNNNNNNNNNNNNNNNNNNNNNNNNNNNNNNNNNNNNNNNNNNNNNNNNNNNNNNNNNNNNNUAUAUAUAUAUAUAUAUAUAGAAAGAGAGAGAGUAGAGCUAGUAUACUGUUAUGAGUAUAGAAUUCUUCAUACUCAUAAAUUAUUUUCGAUGAUGGAGUUUCCGAAUCAACGAUCCACUCCGUUAAAUACAAUCUAAAGUAUUUAGAACUAUUUAAAAAUAAAUUUCGUAAUUUUUUGAAAUCAUAAUAAAAUUUAUCAAGCGAGUAUAAAAUGAAUAGUCAAAAUCGAACGAUAUCUUUAAAAUAGAUGUUUGGAUCCUUUAAUUUAAGAUCAGAAUUAUUGAUCUUUAUCUAUAUAGUGAAUAAAAUUUUCUAUAAAAAAUUCUCCGAGGGUUGAGUAAUACCCUUAGGGUUGAGUGGUCCCGACAGAAUAAUAGUAUUAAUCCAAAGGUUAGAAAUAAUCAAAAGAGCUGAUCUAAGGGUCAAAAAAUUGGUAGUAUCAUAUCCUCUAUGCUUCCAAUAGUAUAGUAGCUCUACUCUCUCUAUAUAUAUAUAUAUAUAUAUAUAUUGUGUUUAGAGUUUAGGGUUUAUAUAUAUAUAUAUAUAUUGCACGUUAAAAUGUAGAGUUUGAAACAAGCCCCGUCCAUGUAGAAAUUUAGUAAUAAGGAAAGAGACGAGGAGUAGUUCAAAGAGGAAGUAUCCACGAAAGUGCGUGGAUGAGCCAAAUUGGGGCGGUGACGUGGACGCCACCUUCUGUUGGGUAGUCCACUUAUUCGCUUCUUUUUAUCUUCUUCAACCUUCUCCCUUUUAAAAUCUCCUGGGAGUUCCACAAAUUUUCUAUUUGAUUUAUCACCGAACCCCCCCAAUCUAUAUAUUUAGAGAGAUAUAUAUCAUUCAAAAUAAAAGUUAGACCGGCGACUCCCACCAAGAGACAACGACAAGAAAUCUAAUCAGGAUCGCAAUUUAUUAGUGAAUGAUUUGACCAAAAAAAAAUAACAUAAUUUUUAAAAACCAAUCAUUUGACUUUUUUAACUAUUAAACGAAUUCGGCUCUUAGUGACUUAGAUUUGAAUGAAAAGUAGAAUUAUCAAUAUUUCUGCGAUUUUUUCUUUUUUGUUUUUAGUUUUAUUUUUUUAUCUUGGUUGUCUUGAAUGUUUUUGGAGGCUGCGCCAUGUAACUAAAUUUAUUUGCUAAAUAAAUAAAACGGGUAGCGCCCUACAUUUUUCUCAAAAAAAAAAAAAUAAUAACGGUAAAAGUGAUUUGCCAUCGAGAAAUACUGUUCUAAUAGUUGGUGAUCAAAAUCCUGCAUAAAUGUACAUGGUUAAAAUAGGGAGUAUUGCUUAUAUACUUUUUAUCACUGUUUAAAAUUUCUAAUAUUUGCUGUUUUUUAAAAACAUUUUUCUAAACCUCGAAUCUCAUUAGAAAGGUCUUGGGCGGAGAGGUUUACGGUUUACUUUAAAACGAGGAAGUAGAUAAGUUUGAAAUUGCAAUUAUUUCACAUCAUCUUUUCCAAGCAAAAAAUCUUUUUUUUCCGACAACGACAUCAAAUUUAUAAAAUAAAAUAUAGUUAAUUUGUCAUUAAAUUAUAAUCAGAUAUAACAUAUCGAAAUCACAACAAUUGGUGGCACACCUUGACUAUGGCAGUUCUUACUAGGGGUUGGUCGGUGGGAUUACGACUGAUUUCACUCUUUCUUUAAAAAAAAAAACACUUUAUUUAUUUUAUUUUAUUUUUAACUUUAUAAGAUAAUCAAGUACGUUUUCGAUUCGAGAGGGGCUGCUGCAUAAGCAAGGAAAAGACAAGAGAAUGAAUAUUAUAUUAGACCCACCUGUGGCUUGGCCCAGGAAAAGGGCUUGUAGAACCUCCUUGUCCCCCGUUGCCAGGGCCACGUUUUAGUAUUUGCCAUUUUUAUUCUCUCCUCCUUUUACGAAAUUUAGGAUAUGGCUUUAGCCACCGUUUGGUUCGGGGUUAAAAAAAAAUAGCUAUUCCAGAGAUAGGGUCAAGUUUAGAGUUAAAAUGGUGUUAAAAUUAUUUUGUGUUUGGUUGGAGGUUGGAGUUAGUCUAGGAUAGUAAAAAAAAAUGUUUGGUUGGAGUAGGUGGGAUAAGAAGAUAAUAAUUGAUAAAGAAGAAAAAUAUGAGAGCUCGGGAUGCAUGCGGGGUUAAAGUUGGGAGGGGGAGUGGGGUUAAUGAUUGAUAAAGAAGAAAAAUGUGAGGGCUCGGGAUGCGUGCGGGGUUAAAGUUGGGAGGGGGAGUGGGGUUAGUAAACCCCACUAACCCGGUUUAGGGUGGGGUUAGUAAACCCCACCCCGGGUUAGUAAACCCCACCCCAAAAGAGUGGUGUUUGGGUAUAAAUUGGGGGUUAAGGGGUUAUUCCACCCCUUAAACCCCAACCAAACGGUGGCUAAGGAUCUUUGAAGGGCCACAUUAACCAUCAUAUACCAGGGUGCGUUUGGUUCGCGCUAUCUUUUAAAGAUUUCAAAUAAUUUAAUGAGAAUAAAAAAAUAUGAUAGUGUUUGGCUAAACGCACUAAGUAAUCUAGUUGGUAAUAUUAGAUUCAUUUGGAAAUAAGAUUCAUCCCAAAGUACUAAUCUCAUUCCCUUGAGGAAGGAUGGAUAUCCUCAUAUUAAUGGAUUGGAAUAAUCAUAAUAUGUCUAAUCUCUUUCUUUCUUCCUACCCGCCGGCUAAUUGAUAUUAUUUUUCUUUACACUCUAACCUUAUAUCUCUCUCUAAACUUAUUUUUCUCUCUAAAAUUCAACUUUUUUUUUUCUCUCUCUAAACUAAGCUUUCUCUCUCUCUCUCUCUUUUUAAAAUUUCAACUCUCUCACUCCCUCUAAUUUCGACUAUAUUUUUCUUUUUAUUUUUUUAAUUAUGCUCUCUCUCUCUAACUUAUACUCUCUCUUUCUUUUUUCUAAAAAAAUAUUGAAACUUUUGGUAAUAUUAUUUAAUAAUAAAUAAAUAAAUAAAUAAAUAAAUUGUAUAUUUUUUAUAAUAUUAAAUAAUAUGGCUAAUUAAUAUUACCAUGCGAACCAAACACAGAAAUUUCACAUUCUUAGUAAUAGAAUGAAUAGAAAUAAGAUUCUCGAAUAUCAUUUAUUCCUAGUAAUCUUUUAUAAUACGAACCAAACGCACUCUAAGUGGGAAAAGAUCAUGAGCAAGGAGCAAGUUAAUGAGAGAUGAAUGGGAUGUGUUAAGUGUUGGAACUUUAAAA
RNAcentral lists this long non-coding RNA (64664 nucleotides) under Ananas comosus (pineapple). Its description in RNAcentral is "long non-coding RNA (ACOM_LNC007941)". The record is from RNAcentral. Lineage: Eukaryota; Viridiplantae; Streptophyta; Magnoliopsida; Poales; Bromeliaceae.